RNAcentral lists this long non-coding RNA (66566 nucleotides) under Hordeum vulgare. Its description in RNAcentral is "long non-coding RNA (HVUL_LNC007519)". Lineage: Eukaryota; Viridiplantae; Streptophyta; Magnoliopsida; Poales; Poaceae. The record is from RNAcentral.
GGCGGAUCCACGAGAACCCUGAGCUCGGCUACGAGGAGUUUGCCACCAGUGAACUCGUCCGGCGCGAGCUCGAUGCCAUGGGGAUCCCGUACAGGCACCCCUUCGCGCUCACCGGCGUCGUCGCCACCGUCGGCACAGGCGGCCCGCCCUUCGUCGCGCUUCGGGCCGACAUGGACGCGCUCCCUAUGCAGGUUUUUUUUUUUUUUUUUUUUUUGAGAUAAGGUUGUUUCUUCUGCUUUACUGUUCGGAUUGUAUCCAACUUUUAUGUUUGUAUUGGGCCGUCGCGUUUUAGCUUUGCUGCGUCCGGUAGUUGAAAAUUUCUUGGUUCAGCUGCCGAACCAUUUCUAUAUUGCGACUGCGGAAUUUCAGGAUUUCUUCAGCGCCACUUGUUAACUUUGGAGGGGAAUUGUUCUUGUUGACGCUCUAUAUAUUAGCAGAGUAAGAUUGUAAAAUAAUAAGGGAGCUGCUAGGCGUCGACCGGUGGAUCCGUAGCAAAUAUCCACCACCCCAAUAGCCGUCCGAUUACGCGCGCAGCCGUCCGAUCUACCAGUUGGAUCGCCUCUUCCGGUCAAAUACAACCUGAAACAAUAGCCCAGUUGCAGAAACAAUCGCUUUGUUGCGAAAUAACUUUUGAUCCAUUAAUUCUUAAAACAACGGUUGAGUUGCAGAAACAAUUGCUUUGUUGCAGAAUUUUUUCUUCGUCUUUGUGCAGCAUAGGUACUGUUGGGUAAGAAUUUUUUGCAACAAAGGUCAUGUUGCAGAAAACUUUUGCAACAUAUGUCAGCUUGCAUAAUUUUUUCCUUCAUCUUUCUGCAACAAAGGUACCGUUGCGGAAGAAAUUGUUGCAACAUAGGUGCUUUUGCAACUGUCUUCAAGGGAUCCAGAUUCAGAUCCUACAACAUAGGAGGUGCUGCGGUGCGCAAACUGCAACAAGCGCUAAGUUGCAUAAAUACAAGCUAGGUGAGCCUACAUAAGACAAGCGUUGCAUGAGCAAGAGGCGUCUGCCCUCAAGGGAUACAGAUUCAGAUCCUGCAACAUAGGACGUGUUGCGGUACGCAAUCCGCAACAAGCGUUAAGUUGCAGAAUGACAAACUACAUAAGCUCAAAUAGGACACGCGUCGCACAGACAAGACGAUGGAAGGCUGCGUGCGAUCCGCCGGCUGAAGCACAACGUUUUCCAAAUAAUAAUACUCAAAAUCUCCUAAUAAACGAACCCUGAUGGACCGAUGACUUAAGUAGACCUCUCAGCACUGGUGUGUGAGAUGUCAUAAUUCAAAAUUGGAGGAUAGAGAAUCGUAUCCCAAAUUUUUGGCUGGAUAACUGUUUGAUAUUGACCGCGGGGAAAUGCAAUAUAAUGCUUGUCAGUUCUCAGUACAAUUAAACUUCUGAGUCUGGACAGAUGGCAAACACUACUUUUCUUAUUAAAAAGAGGGGCAUACACUAGCCUAGUCAUAGCUAGUUCCCUAGACUUUUGACCAGGAUCAUACAAGAGUAGGUUUAUGCUUAUUGUGGGAAUGAAACAUGUGAUUAGCCUGUAUGCACGUAUAUAAUAGCAAAGCUAAGCUUCAAGCUUGUCUUGUGUGGCGAUGAGACAAUUAUGCCAUACUGUUACACAAGUAGUAGAUAAUAAUUUUGGGAGCAAUUAUUGUAUGCAUUUUCUUGAAAAGGAUAGUAUAAUUGUUAUUCCUAGUUACUGGACAUUUCUUGUGUUUAUUUGAAUUAUUUUUUGGUGCUAAUUUAAGCAUUAUAAGCAUCCUAUGCCUGCACUGAAGUAUGAUUAGGCUGUAUUUGGCUAUCACUUUAUCUAUUUCAAGGAUCAUGUUACUUAUGAUACCCUCAUGUGUAUUCUUCAGGAAAGUGUGGAAUGGGAACAUAAGAGCAAAGUGCCUGGGAAGAUGCAUGGAUGUGGCCAUGAUGCACAUGUUGCUAUGCUGUUGGGUUCUGCUAAGAUUCUUCAGGAGCACCGUGAUGAGUUGAAGGUUAGUAAAGAGGCUCUUUCUGGAUUGUAAAACGUUGUAAUUUUCUCAUUUUACAAUGAAAAGCCGCAAGAAGAUUUGAAUUUUCUCUUUUAACGCUGAAAGGGUGCUUGAAGGUUGACAGUUAACUAUAGGUCAAUCAUUUUGUUGUUGCUUUGAGUUUAAGAGGUAGUAGUAACCUUGCAAAUAAAUAAAUAAAUGAAAAUAUAAUCAUAAGAUCAGUAUAUCUUAACACUCCACGUGAUUUAUUCUCAUACUUCCCCUUCUUUCAUUUCUUGUACAAAUCAUCUGUUUACUGGGUUAGAACUUUGACGGAACUAAAUUGUACCAAUUCAAUGUUCAUGUCAUAAGAGUGGCGAUAUAUUACUUUUGGUGUUAUAUAUGAACUUUCAUGGUUCAGAAACUACCUGAUUCUCUAUGCCGGCUAUGGUAAAUGAGGUUUUUGUUUGAUUAAAAUGUAGGCGAUAAAAUUUUGGUAUUUCCUAUGUCCACUCCACCACCGAUGUUUCCUGAACUAUUUGGAGAUUGUGCCAAAGGGCAAGUGCAAUGAUUUUUGUUUCUUUUUCCUCAACACUUCCUUCUCAAGAGAUGCACAAUGUUGGUGAUUCACUGUUUUAUAUUUCAAAUCAACCUUCACAUUAGCAGUUCUAUGAAUAUCUUGUGACACUACAUAGAAAAUGCGCAUGUGUAUUCUGUUCUCCAAUAAUUGGUCAUGCAACCUUUUUCAGACAUCAUACAGUUAGUCAAAGGAUAGUUUGGUCCCCGCUUCCCCUCAUAUCAGUUAUGUACAAACUGAACCAUGUGGCUGCCUAUAUAUCAAUUAUGUCAAGAUUUCAUAAUCCUUGGCCGAAAACAAUUUCCUAUCUUGCACACAUCAAAUUUUAUUUACCUGCAAAAUUUGAUGUUACAAACAUCUUGUUGUUUGUUUACUGUAGGGUACUGUAGUCCUUCUUUUCCAACCAGCUGAGGAAGGUGGUGGUGGAGCCAAGAAAAUGGUAGAAGCCGGAGCUGUGGAAAACAUAGAGGUCAUGUUUGGGAUUCAUGUAGCUGACACUGUGCCUAUUGGUGUGCUGGCAUCCAGACCUGGGCCUAUAAUGGCGGGGAGUGGAUUUUUUGAGGCAGUAAUAAGUGGAAAGGGAGGGCAUGCUGCACUUCCUCAUCACACUAUUGAUCCAAUACUAGCUGCAUCCAAUGUUAUUGUUAGCCUUCAGCAACUUGUUUCCCGAGAAGCUGACCCCUUGGACUCACAGGUGUUAUUCAAUCCUUGAGCUACUUGAUUUAUUUAAUGGCUGCUACAUUUUUAUAGGACAUACAUAGUCUUUUUUUGAUCAUGGCUAUGUGAUUUAGAUAGCUCAUUUUGUGGAGUUUGCGUAGAUCAUUUUGACCCAUUUCUUGAUACUCAAAACUUGUCAGGAUUCUGAGCUCAUACCUGUUAAAAUAAUUAUUUGUUCUGAUUUACUGCAGGCUAACUAAUCACAUCCUAACAUGGAAGCUGUCUACUCCUAAUAAUACCCAGAGUUAUGAUCGUAACUACCAAAAUUUCUCAAUCAUCUAGUAUCUGAAUUCAUAAGUUUUUUUUACGUACACUACUGAACUUUCUAUCUAGCAUUAUGAUUUCAUAGAUGAAAUGAUUUUCUGCACACUACAGUCCUGUAAUACAUCGUCGUUUGUCUUUAUAAAAUGGCCCCCUUUCAUGUUUCAUACGCUCUUCCAGUCGGCUGCCUUUAGGCUAUAGAUAUUUGUUAUAUGCUAAGUGGUGACUGUCCUAGUCAUUCCUUUAGCAUGGCCAUAUUGUUUUGGGGUCCCACUCUCCCGUGGCGAUUCCUGUGUACCUCAACAUCUCAUUACCCUCCUUUUUGUUGGCUUUGUUCUGCAGGUAGUAACAGUUGGAAAGUUUCAAGGUGGUGGAGCCUUCAAUGUUAUCCCUGAUUCUGUGACAAUAGGCGGUACCUUCCGAGCCUUUUUGAAGGAGAGUUUUAAUCAAUUGAAGCAGCGAAUUGAAGAGGUAACAACAUUAUAACUUGGGAGUUGUGUGUUGUUUAUCCGGCAUUAAGUUCUGAAUGAUUUGCUCUUGAAAAGAUGAUUUUGUAGGAGACCUCGAUUGUGUUGUUUAGCCCAUGUGUUGGUAGGAGACUUUGAUAGAUUUUGUUGAAAGAUUACUUCAAACAUGUUACAAUACAUCAACGCCUCUAAAUAAUAGGAAGUCCUGAUAAUUGAAGAGGGGUGUUAGCAUUAAAUUUUGCAAAUAGACUUUAUUACAGUGUUGAAAAUUGACAUCUCUAUAAGAGUCAAGAUGAACAAAAAGAAUCAAGGAAUAUCGUUUAAUUCAUAUCUGAUGGUUGGUAUAGUUGGAGGUGAAGAGGCUGCCGCUGUCAAUUGUACUAUUUAUAUAGAAUUAAAAUAAUUUGAGAAUACAUUUGUACAAAGUGUCACAGCGGCUUGGCCUGUAGCUGCCUUUGUCAAUUUCGCACUAUAAACAAGGGUAAUCACAACCAAGUGAGCUGGUGGUGAAUGUGUUGCCUGAUUAUUAUAUAUAUACAGUAUUUUCCUUAAAUAAUGAACGUUGCAGUGUUGCACCAUUUGGGUUUUCUAGAAAGGAAGUGCUUCGUGCUGCUUAUUUUAUCAUGGAUGGUCAAAGCUGAGAUCGCUAAAGAAAGAUAUACACACUAAAGGAUCUGUAAUUUCGUUUGUUUAACUUGAAAGUUUUUUUUUUUUUUUUUGUCUCAGGUCAUAGUCACACAGGCAUCUGUCCAGCGCUGCAGCGCAGUUGUGGACUUCCUUGACAAAGAUCGGCCGUUCUUCCCUCCAACAAUCAACAACCCUGAGCUUCACGAUUUCUUUGUGAAGGUGGGUAGCGAAAUGGUUGGCCCCAACAAGGUGAGAGAGAAGCAGCCACUGAUGGGUGCGGAGGACUUCUCCUUCUACACGGAGGUCGUUCCCAAGACAUACUACUACUUCGUGGGGAUGCUGAACGAGACUCGUGGACCGCAGGCGCCUCAUCACUCACCCUACUUCACCAUCAACGAGGAUACACUGCCCUACGGUGCGGCCAUGCAAGCAUCGUUGGCUGCUCGCUAUCUGCUUGAGCACCAGCUCGUUACCGCUGCUAAGGUGGUGGAACCACGGGACGAGCUGUAGAUGGUGUCCAUGUUGAAUGAAACGGCGGAGGGACGUGCACAGCAACUGUUGAUUAAAAAGAGGGAAAACAAAAAAAAAGGUAAGGCCCUGGGCCAAAUGAAGCUGACUUGUUCGAGGAGGACCUCUGUAUCGCCGGGUGAUUAUGCAACUGUCUGUACAUGGUUUCCUGAUUUCAGUGCAUUACAAGCGAGCAGAUGACCUUGUGAAAACACUGUGCGCAUGUGAUUCUGUGGUAGGUCUCGUUUGUUUUCGUAUCUGCACUUAGCCGAGUACGUGUAAUCUUUGAGUGCAGUCGUGGAUAAUGCAUGUACGUCGUGCAAACAGAAUAAAUUGGGAAGCAGACACACCUCUUUGUCCUGUUUAGAGUGGGGAAAGAUAUGAAUUUGUAGCAUGGUUCCAUCUUUUAAUGGCGCAAAAAUAAUUUACAGGCACGGUCGAAAAUAUUUAUUCCAUAUAUAUAAGUUGGAUGCCUUCAUAGGUAAAUCUUCGGGUCCCAAUAUCAAAAAUAGACAAUGGAGCUCCCCCUCCCAGCUCUCCGUGAUGACCCGUGAGGGUGCCGGCGGUCGCGCCAGGGUGCCGGCGGUCGCGCCACCCCCCUGCUGGCCCGCCCGCUAUCUCCUCUUUCAUGCCACUCCUGCCCCGGUCGCUGGGUUGCGCUUCUGGUAAGUCUGCCGUCGUCGACUGCGGGGUCCUAGGCAAAUCUGGUGUCCCAAUCGCCCUGGCGUCGCCGCGGGGACUCCGCGAUCGAUUUGGAGGUUGUCCCCGAAUCACCUCUCGACCCGCGGGCGGUCGGAUUGGCCCCCUCCCCCUUGCUGCCAUUGAUGGCCCGGAUUCGGACCGUUCCAUGCCUGGAUCUGACAUUAACUGCGGGGUUGGUGUCGACAUUAACUCCUCCGUGUCGGGCGCCUGCACUAGCCCAUCCCCCCAACGGCCUGCACUUCAAUGUCGGCGACUAGCGCGGGGCACGAGAAGGAUGUGACCGCUGCGUGGCAGUUGGUCAAAUCGCGGCGAGGUCCGCGUCGCCCGGCUUUGCCUGGCUAGGCAUUGAAGAAGCCAUCCCUCCCAUGGUGGCUUAAAAGGGUGCUGUAGUCGCUGCCUAGCGCUUGGACAUCGCGCCUCCUCCUGUCGCGAGCCGCUGCGUUGCUCCCGUUGCCUUCGGAACGCCACCGACACCGUGGCUACAAGAACAAGUGGCGCCCUCUGAGCUCGUUGGCGUGCUUCGCCUUCGUCCCCCCGCCGCCGCUUCCUCGACCCUCGCAUGCAUCGACUCAACCCUCGGUCCCUGCCUUCACCCUGGGACGGGGCUGGCUUCUUCCUUCUCCUACUCCGACGACCCUGCCCCAGGCCAUCACCGACAAGCCUGCCAUGCCGCAGCUGGGAGACGCGGCCAGUCUGCCUGAUGUGGACUUCGUGGUCGUCCCGGCCACGUCGAAGAUGCACGCAGAUUCGUCCCUGCUCUCCACCAACGUCGCAGUGGCCUGGUUCAAGGAUGGACGGAAGGACGUGCCCCUGCCACGAGGUGGCCAUGACGUUCGCCACCACCUUCAGCUGUCGGAAGGCGGACGUCAGCAUCGUUCGCCACCUCUCCGAGCACUUCUUCGUCAGGUUCAUGUACCAACUUAACUGCGCUGAUGCAGUUAACCGUGAGGACUUCCGCAUCGCCAAUUCCAAGCUUUUCGUCCCCGCGUGGAGACUCGAGGCGCAUGCGUACAAUGAAGACAUGAUCGUCACGUCCCGUUGUACAUCAAGGGGAUUCCCGUCCAUGGAUGGAACGAGUAUGUCGCCGCGUUUGUCAUCGGCCGCAAGUGAUCCCUCGACUACAUCGAGCCGAUGGCAUUGCAUCACGAGGACACAUGCUUUCUGUCGCUUUGGGCAUGGACGUCCGACCCCAAUGCCAUCCCAAAGGUGAAGUGGCUGACGCUGCCUGCUCGUGGUCACUGUUGCCGUGGCCGCCGCAGUCUGGGCCACCGCGUGUUGUUGCACCUGGACCUGCUCGAGGACCACUCCAAGGCAUGUGACGACGACGACCCCCCUCCGAAUGUCGAGGAGUUCAUGUGGUUCCCUGUGAGGUCAAUGGGACGACUCACUGUGCCGGCCGACGCGGUGACCAACCAAGUGAGGGUCGCCGCUCGGAGCGGCGCAAUGAGGACGACGACCGUGGGGGUCAUCGCGGCAGGGAUGGACCACGCUUAAAGGACAGCUGGAAUGACCACCUUCGACGUUCGUUGUCGCGGGGAGCACGUGACCGUCAGUGACAGGAUGACAACGGGCGCACCCAGGACGCUGUGGUGACAGUGGUCGGAGGCGCAACGGUGCUGGGCUGAUGUCGUGGCUUCGGCCGCUGCGUCUAUGCCUUCGUCCACGCCUGCGGCUAAGUGUGUCGCUACCCCUGGUACUGCUCGGGUCGGGUUCCAACAGCAGCAACGGGGCAUGCGCGCUUGAGAUGUUGUCGGUGUGCGGCCGCAGCCUGGCUCGACACGGUUCGCGUGGUGUUGCGCGCUGACACUCGCUGGAGAGCCUGACUCCACCUGCGUAGCUGCCUCUCUCCCCCAUGUUGGUGCUGCCAGGGCUGCCCCUUUCUAGGAGGGACAUGGAGAGGAACGCCAUGUCCGCCUUGCUAGGCCUUUCCCCAACGAUGGAGGGGCUAUUGUCGCCCAUGACCUUGCUUCUCCCACUGUCCCCGAUGCGCCCCCGGGUUUCGAGGCUUCGCCACCCCCUCUGUUCACCUUCCACGGCCGCUAAGGCACACACCCUCUUUGUUUGGCUGCAGGGGCAGCUGCGAACCUGCAGCUGGCGGGCGUCGGCCUGGCGGUGAUCUUUGAGGACAUGCAGGUGCCACUGCUGCCCUCCCCUGCUCCUUCACUGCCCCGUACCGCGGGGAGCACUGCAAGACUAUCGCAGGCAUCGAUGUCGUCCGGCCUGGCGCAGGGCUUUCUCUCCAGCAGACCAGUGCUAGGCUCACAUUUUCUCACAAGUCAAGGGUGGUGCCCGCUUCGGCGGCUAACGCGGCGGAGUUCCUCGUCUGCCGUAGCCUGGGGAUCGUCAAGGAUGGUGAAGAAGCCACGACCAAGGCGUUGGAUGCCUUUGCGAAGCGCUUCAAGGACCAUCUACCCAAUGAAGUGCUCUCCGCCAUGCGUAAGUUGUUCAAGGUCGACAACGCGCACACCACUACAGUUGAAGACGCCUUCAUUUAGCAUGUAGGCGAGGGAGCCAUGGACGUCGAGAGGAUGGAGGAUGCGGCCGUUGUCAUCCAGGGCUCCAUCUCGGCCUUGCUAUCUAUCUGAUCAAGUGUGUAUGGUCCGUUCUCAUGUUAGAAAAACCUAUCAAUGUCCUAUGUUGGAACGUCCGAGGGAUAAACUGUCCGGACCGUCGAGCUACUAUGAACGCCACCGUCGCUGCAUCAUGCUACCACAUUGUAUGUCUUCAGGAGACUAAGCUUGUCACAGUAGACUCCUUCACAGCUACGUUCCUUGGCGGUUAUAGGCUGCCCAAUUUUGCACAAAGGCCUGCAGACGGCACUAGAGGAGGCAUCGUUCUGCUCUAGGACGAUCAUCUGGUCGAGAUGUCGCACAUCACCACCACUAACUUUGUCUCUCCGUGUUAGUCCAUAUUCGAGGCACCAAAGUGCAAUACAAGCUCACCAUGGUCUAUGGCCCCACCAAUGCACCACACAAAGACGCUUUCUAUGCAGAGCUUCUUAGCCACAAGCCACAACACGACAUGCCUUGGCUGGCGGCUGGCGACUUCAAGCGAAUCUACCAUGCCAGAGACAAGAAUAAAAUACAUGUUAACCGAAGCAGAAUUAAUCGGUUCUGGGUGACGCUAGAAAGCUGUGAGCUUAAAGAGAUCCACCUGCAAAAUAGAAGAUUCACGUGGAGUAUCGAGAGAGACAAUCCGACUUUGUGGAAGCUCGACUCGUUCUUGUGCAGUGCUGAGUGGGAUACCACCUUUAGCACUCACCUACUAGAUGCUCUCUCUUCCUCGCUCUCUGAUCACUGCCAGCUACUGCUUGCGGACAAUAAAGGCUCAGGACGACCAAAAAUUUCAAAUUCGAAACCUUGUGGACAUCUAUGACUGGUUUUAUGGAGGUGGUGAACUAGGCAUGGAAUGAGACUAUCGCGCACACAGAACGCUAUCAAAUCUUCUUCCACAAACUGAAGAAGGUAGCGACACGGCUUUUUUGCAUGGAGCACGGGCUUAUUCUCCAAGGCAAGGUACACCUCCAUGCGGCCUUGCUGGUGUUCCUAUGCCUCGACAUCACUCAGGAGAACCGCCUACUUUCCAGCGAGGAACGCGACCUCAGGACACACCUGAAAAGAAGAGUCAUUAGCCCGGCUAUGCUUGAGAGAGCACGAAAGAAUCAAAGUGCAAGGAUUGCAAACCUUAGGAAUGGGGACGCCAACACCAAGUUCUUUCACCAUCAUAUCAAUUCUAGGCGGCAGAUGAACCAUAUAUACAUGAUCAAGAACGACCAAGGCUGGAUCAGUGAGCAUGACGACAAGGAGAAGCUCAUCCUGGACAACUUCUCCAACGUGAUGAAAAAGGGGGCAACACGUGCUAAGGAUUUCAAUUAGGAAGAACUGAUCGUCGAGAUGCUUGACUUGCAUGGGCUCGAUGCAACCAUCUCGGAAGAGGAGAUCUGCAAGGCAAUAAAUGAUCUUUCGAGCGACAAGGCACCAGGUCUUGAUGGCUUCACCGACAUUUUCUUUAAGAAAUGCUGGGAGAUUAUCAAACUCGACAUGAUGAGGGUCAUUCGUCAGUUUGACACCCUGCACACACCCGACCUUUGUUGGCUCAACUCCGCCAAUGUGGUGUUGCUGCCCAAGAAAGAGGGUGCUGAGGGGAUUGGCGACUACAUGCUAAUUAGCCUUAUCCACACCGUCUCCAAAAUCAUUGCAUCGCGACUUGCUCCACACAUGAAAAACUGAUAUCCAAUGCCCAAAGCACUUUUAUCAAAAGGAGAAGCAUUCACGAAAACUUCAUGUGUGUGCGAAACAUGGUAGGAAGGUUGAACAAAUGCAAGACCCGAGCCCUCCCAUUCAAGCUGGACAUUUGCAAAGCAUUCAACUCUUGUCAAAUGGGAAUACAUUCUCGACCUCCUUCGACGGAGGGGUUUCCCGCCCAAAUUUCGGGAUUGGGUUGUGGCUCUACUUUCCACUUCUUCUUCGAGGAUCCUUAUCAAUGAUGUGAUGGGCUGGCCCAUCAAGCACGGGUGCGGUCUUAGGCAAGCCCCCCCUCUCCCCACUCCUCUUUGACAUUGCCAUUGAUGUCCUGCAACAUCUUCUCGAUCUUGCAAUAAGAAAGGGAAUGCUUCGCAAGGUUCAAGGAAGAGGGGUUAUGGUCCGCACCUCACUGUAUGCGGAUGAUGCUACUGUCUGCAUGGCCCCUCUCAAAAGGGAUAUCGAUUAUCUCUCGGCCAUCUUGCGCGGUUUCGGGAGGUCACCGGACUAUGCACCAACUUUCACAAGAGCUCAGUUGUUCCCAUCAGAUGCAAUCAGCUAAACCUCGAGUGAAUUCUGUAGAGCCUUCCGACAAAGAGGACGACCUUCCCCGUUAGAUACCCAGGUGUCCCUCUGCCGGUCAGGAAGCUGAAGACUGUGGACUUCCAGUUACUCGAGGAUAAGGUUGCGAGCAAGCUGCUGACAUAUGAGGGCCAGAACAUCACCACCAUUGGGCGCAUGACACAUGUUAAGUCAGUUAUUUCAUCACUUUUUGUCUACUUCGGCACCUCAUUGGUCAUUCCGCCUGCCAUAAGACACAACAUCAACAAGCUAGAGGGGCAUUCCUUUGAUCGGGGUUGGACAAGACGACGGGGCCCAAGUGCAAGGUAAACUGUAACAUUGUCUGCCGCCCGCUGGAAUAGAGAUUCGUUGGUGUGUUAAACACAAACAAAUUCACGCCGGCCGUGCGGUUGAGGUGGCCUUGGUUCGAGUGGACCGCUCCACACAAGUUGUGGGUUGGUUUUGGGAAACCCGUGUGAUGAUAAAGAUCUGGAUUUCUUCUGCGCGUCAACGACGAUCACGGUGGGUAACGACGGCAAGACGCCAUUCUGGGACUCGCCUUGGCUGCAUGGGUGCAAGCCUAGAGAUCUGGCACCGCUCAUCUUCAUGGCCUCCACCAGGAAGAACUGGAAGGUGUGCGUGGCCCUAAAUGGCAACCCGUGGAUUCUCAAUAUCAAAACCACCACCGUUAUCUCCAUCGAGUACAUCUGUUCUUUCCUCACCCUUUGGACGAUGUUAAAUGACUUCCACCUUGAUGACCUCGCUGAAGAUACCAUUGUUUGGAAGCACACAAAGGGGGGACACUACUCCACAGCCUAUGCCUACAAGGCCCAAUUCCUUGUCUCGGUCUUCUCCCCCAUGGAGAAUAUGAUUUGGAGGGUCUGGGCGCCACCGAAGGCCAAGUUCUUCAUGUGAUUGGCUAUCUAAGAUCGUAUUUGGACUGCUGAUAGCCUGGAGAAAAGGGGCUGGCCAAAUUGUGGACUCUCCACCCUUUGCAAGCAUGAGAAAGAAAGUGGACCACAUCUACUCUUCAAAUGUCUUUACACGCUGAGCCUUUAGAGCUUGGUCAGGGAGAAAUAUGGGCUCCAUCACCUUGACACCUUAACUUGGCAUCUCAAGGAUUCAGUGCUGAACUGGUGGGUUGGCAGGACCGGCUCAGGGGUCCCCAAUAGGAAGGCAAUACCUUCUCUCGUCAUGCUUGUCUCAUGGAUGGUGUGGAACAACAAAAAUUCUCAGGUCUUCUAUCACAUGAGCGCUCCACCGUCCGUCCUUUUAAACACCAUUGAUCAAGAGGCAAACCUCUGGAUCACCGCAGGGGCAAAGAAUCUAGGCACCUUUGUUACGCACGAGUAAUUCCGCAUAUCGUGUAUGAGUGCACCAUUUGUAACAACAAUUCUCCUCUCUUAAUUAAUAUAUGGGGCAAAUCUUUGGCCUCCCUUUCAAAAAAUAUUAAUAUUUAUUCCAGUAACAAGAAAAAAAAUAAAUGGUUGGAACAAGGGUUUGAGCACCAUAAGUCUAGUUAUAGUUAUUACUAGCGUUCCAUCUCCAUGGCCACGGGUUCUUCCUUCAGAGCUGGACACGUGUCGCCGUGGCUUGAAAGCAUCAACCUGAUGUGGUAGAUGGAGAACGAUCGGAGGCUGUGCGUGAGUCUCCACCCCGAUCGGCAGGCAGGUCGCUGAUACGUCUCCAAUGUAUCUAUAAUUUUUUAUUGUUCCAUGCUCUUAUAUUAUCAUUCUUGGAUGUUUUGCAAUCAUUUUAUAGCAAUUUUAUAUCAUUUUUUGGGACUAACCUAUUGACAUAGUGCCCAGUGCCACUUGUUGCUUUUAUGCUUGUUUUUUUACUUCAGAGAAAAUCAAUAUGAAACGGAGUCCAAAUGUCACGAAACAUUUUGGAGAUUUUUUUCUGCCUAGAAGACAUCCAGAGGACCAAGGAAGCCAACUAAAGGAGGUCCAAGCUAACCACUAGGCACCAGGGCGCGCCUGCCCCCUCGCGUGGCCUAGUACCUAGUGGGCACCUCGUGGCCCAUCUUGGCGUGAUUCCAACGCAAAAAAUUCCUAUAAAUAGAGAAACCUCCAGAAAUAACCCUAGAUCGAAAGUUUCGCCACCGCAAGCCUGUGUAGCCGCGAAAAACAAACCAGGAGCCCGUUCUGGCACCCUGCCGGAGGGGGAGAUCAUCCCCGGAGGCCAUAUUCAUCAUCCCUAUGGACACCAUGAUGAGGAGGGAGUAGCCCACCCUCGGGGCUGAGGGUUUGCACCAGUAGCUAUGUAUUUAAUCUCUCUAUGUCUCUCUCUCGUGUUCUUGAGAUGUCAUGAUCUUGAUAUAUCACAUGCCUUGUUAAUAUAGUUGGAUCAUAUGGUGUUUGUCCCAUGCUAUUCUUGCGAUGAAUUGACUCUUUAACUUUAAGAUCUCGUUAUGUUGGAUUGGAUAUCCAGGUUUGAGAGCACAUGAUGUAUGUCUUGCAUGCGGAUACCCGUAGUGACAUUGGGGUUCUCAAGCGAUUCACUUGAUAUAUGUUUUGGCACUCAACUCGCGGAUUCCCAAGGUGACAUUUGGGUAAUCUAUGCAUAGGGGGUCAUGCACGUUUUCAUACUAUGUUCUCCGAUAGAAAUCUUGGGGUUCUCCUUGAAGUUCUUUGUGUUGGAUUGAAUAUGAAGAAUCUGAAAUUGUUUGAUGCAUCUCGUAUAAUUAGCCCACGGAUACAUGAGGUGACAUUCGAGUAUCUAGGUGACAUUAGGGUUGAUUGAUAUGUAUCACUCGUGUUAUUUUAGUAUGAAAUCUUAAAUAGAUCGAUCGGAAAGGAUAACUUGUUAUUCUAGUACGAACUCUUAGAAAGAUUGAUCGGAAAGAAUAACUUUGAGGUCGUUUCGUACCCUACAAACAAUUUCUUCUUAUGUUCUCCACUAGAUAGGAACUUUGGAUUGAUUCUUUGUCGCACGUUGAGAGAUUGUUGUGUGAUCCAAUUAUAGUAGCAUUGUUGAGUGAUUGCACUAGCGAAAGUACGGAUCCUAGGCCUCAUUAGCAUUGUAGUACAAUUUAUGCUCACUUUUUUACUUUCUACCUUGCUAUUUUUAUUAUUCCUAUUACAAAAAUCAAUAUCUACUAUCAUUACUACACUUGUAUCACCAUCUCUUCACCGAACUAGUACACCUAUACAAUUUACCAUUGUAUUUGGUCUGUUGGGGACACAAGAGACUUUUUAUUAUUUGGUUGCACGGUUGUUUGAGAGAGACCAUCUUCAUCCUACGCCUCACACGGAUUGAUAAAACUUAGGUCAUCCACUUGAGGGAAAUUUUCUACUAUCCAAAAAGACUCUGCGCUUGGAGGCCCAACACGAGUCUACAAGAACAAGUUGUGUAGUAGACAUCAAGCUCUUUUCUAGCGUCAUCGCGGAGGAGGUGAGUGCUUGAAGGUAUAUCUUUACAUCUUGCAAUUGAAUCUUUUAGUUUCUUGUUUUAUAACUAGUUUGGUUUUAUAAAAAGAGAAUUUUUUUUGGAAUUGAGGUGGUCUCAUAUUGUUCAUCUUUAUCAUGUCUUUCUUGAAAAUGAUGGAAAGGAAAAUUGUUCUCAAUUGCUAGAGGAAGAAUUUAUGAACAUGCUUAAUGUGAAUUCCUUGAAUGAUGAGCAUGAUAGUAAUAUUGUUAGUAGGAAUUAUCUGAAUAUCGAUGAUGCUAAUGAUAUGCAAAGGCACAAGCUUGGGGAUGCUAUGUUUGAGGAAGAUGAUAUUUUUAGUCCCCCAAGUUUUGAUGAGCAAAUUUAUUAUGAUGAAAGCAUGCCUCCUAUUUAUGAUGAUUAUAUUUAUGAAAGUGGGUUUGGAGGAGUGUCAACUCUAGGUACUAAUGAUCCCACUAUUUUGGAGGGUGUUGAAUAUUUUCAUAAUUAUAAAAGUGGAUUUGGAGAGGUCAUGACUUUAUUUAGUGAUGAGUCCACUAUUUUGGAAGAGGUUUCAAUUGACUAUGACAACAAAGUUCCUAUCUAUGAUGAUUAUUAUGAUGACAUGUUUGCUAUAAAUAGUAAUAAAAACCAUGAAACUUGUCAUCAUGAUUUUAAUUUUCAAUUGUAUUAUGCCACUCAAGUAUAUCAUGAUAGUUAUUUUGUUGAGUUUGCUCCCACUACUAUGAAUGAUAAGAAUUUUGCUUGUGUUUGCAGUAAUAAAAAAUCUAUGCUUGUCCAUCAUGAAAAUAAUGUUGUAUAUGAUAGUUAUAUUGUUGAAUUCCUUCAUGAUUCUACUGAAAACUAUUAUGAGGGAGGAACAUAUGCUUGUAGGAAUUGCAAUAAUAUCAAGUUUCCUCCCUAUGUGUUCAAAGUUUUGAAGUCAUGCUUGGUUUGCCUCCAAUACUAGUUGAUUCUUGCUCAAAUAAAUUGUUUGCUUGCAAAAUCUCUAUGCAUAUGAAGUAGGUUAGACUUAAAUGUUCUUGUCAUGUGAUUCUUGAUGCUCUCUUGCAUGCCUCAGUUAGUACUUUUUAUGUGAGCAUCAUUGAAAUCAUCAUGCCUAGCUAAAAGGCAUUAAAGAAAAGCGCUUGUUGGGAGACAACCCAAUAAUUAUCCUUAAUGUUUUUGAGUGUUCACAUGAUUAAGCUACUGUAUUAAUCAUUUUUUAUAGCUUUUAUUUCAACAAAGUGCCAAGUAAAGCCUUUGGGAUAGUGUGGUACUUGCUUGUUUGAUUCUGUGAUAAAACAUAAACUUUUACGUCCAGUGCAGAAUUUCUCUGAUUUUACUAGAGCAUAAAAUAAUUCUGAAAUUUUUACACAAUUUUGGAAUGCAAAUUCUCUGCAUUUUCCUAAUUGAUCAGAAUAUGUAGUUUAAGGGAAGUAAGGUUUUCAUUCAGAACUUCAAAGACUGCUCUCUUUUGACGGAUUCUGUUUUGCAUGCAUAGUUUGNNNNNNNNNNNNNNNNNNNNNNNNNNNNNNNNNNNNNNNNNNNNNNNNNNNNNNNNNNNNNNNNNNNNNNNNNNNNNNNNNNNNNNNNNNNNNNNNNNNNCUCUUACAAGGGGAAAAGUAAAGGAACAAGAUAGGCCCUUCGCAGAGGGAAGCAGAGGUUGUCAUGCGCUUUUGAGGUUUGGAUGUGUGUCCUCUUAGUGCGGAGGAACGUCACUUUAUAUUGCCUCCUGUGAUAAUGAACUUUAUUAUGCAGUCUGUCGCUUUUAUGUCUUCCUCAUCACAGGUUCGUACAAAGCUUCUGUUCCACGCACUAAUAGAUCAUACAUAUUAGAGAACAAUUUUUAUUGCUUGCACCGAUGACAACUUACUUGAGGGAUCUUAUUCAAUCCAUAGGUAGGUAUGGUGGACACUCAUGGCAAAACUGGGUUGAAGGUUUAUGGAUGCACAAGUAGUAUCUCUACUUGGUGCAGGAGUUUUGGCUAAUAUGAGGUGGAAGCAAUCGUCACAUGCUAAGGGAUCUCUAAUCAUAUAACAUUGUUUGGAACCAAGUAAACACAAUUCAUUAUGUUGUCUUCCUUGUCCAACAUCUACUUCUAGGCAUGUAAUAGUUUGGUGAGUGCUCACAAUUAUAGAAAGUGUCUAAGAUGAUAUAUUUAUAUGUGAACCUCUCUUUCCUUAUUACUUCUUAUUAAUUGCAACAAUGACCGAGGUCUAUGUUGGUCUACUCUCAACAAGUUUCAAUCAUCAUACUUGUUAUAUGUGAAGCUAUCACUUCCCAUAAGAUCAUCUCAUGAUCUUUCAUGCUAUCGUUCCUCUCAUACUUUUGAUCAUGGCACAAAACAAAGCCCUUGACUAAGAUACUCUUUAUUAUAUAGCUCGCAAGCUUGAAUACAUCGGGGGAGACACAAGGAAAAAGACUCAAACUAAACACUAAAGACUUAUUACACUAAGAGAAGAAAUAAAAACUGAAAAGGAAAGAACUAAAACAAAGGUAAAAGCAAAAGAUAUAAAGGUGACAUGAUACCAGGGAAACUCCCCCAAGCUUGGCAAAAGCCAAGGGGAUUGCCCAUACCAAUGCUUAGUUGUCUUCCUUUGGUGGUGAUGGUGGUGGUGUUGUUGAAGUAGUCUUGAGCUUGUCUAAUUUCCACUUGAGCAAAAAGUUCUGCUCCCUCAGAUCGUCAUUUUCCUCCUCAAGCGUCAACACUCUAUGACAAAGUUUCUGCUUACUCUCUGCAAGAAACGAGAAGGGAUAAACAAGGUCUUAGGCUUCUUCCUUUGGUCAGGGAGGCUUGACUUCUUGAACUCCACGUGAGUGCGUCCAGGUUGGGGUAGAGGAGCCUCCUCGUCAUCGGAACUCGUUUGUUCCUUCCCCUUGGGCUCAUAGUCCUCUUCCUCGUCAGUAGUCCAGCCAUAAGGCUCCAAGUCCCCAUUAAUCCUGGAGUUAGCACGAUCAUCGGCCACAUAGAUCUCUUCUUGUGAAUCUUGAGAAGUCAUCUUGACCUAAAUCUGCGGCAGACAACAGGCUCGAAACGAAAACACACGAAAACUGCGCGAUACGGAGAUCAAAACCCUAUAUAAUGAUUUUUUCUGGACCAGAAGGAGUACUCCGCAGGAAAAUGGAGUCCGGGAGGCACACGACCUGCCCACAAGCCCUGUUGCCGCGGCCAGGGGGGAGGCCGCGGCAACCAAGCUUGUGGCAGCCUCGUGCGCUCUCCGGACUGCUUUUUAUUUUUCUAAUUUUCCAUAAAUUCCAAAACGGAGAAAAUUUCCUAUUGGAAAAGUUUCGGAGUCCAAUUACUUACCGAAACAGAUACCUCUUGGUUUUCAGGGUCUGAAACAGGCUGAUAAACAUCCCUUAUGUACUCCUCUGGAGUUAUGAUAUUGAUGAUAUUGGUCUCAACAUUUAUGGGAGUACCAGAGAUAUAAUGCUUGAUUCUUUGCCCGUUUACCACUCUAGAAAAAUUGCCUUCCGUGUUAUUGAUUUUGAUGGCACCGGAACGAUAUACUUCCUCGACAACGUAGGGACCUUCCCAUUAAGAAAGAAGCUUGCCUGCGAAGAAUCUCAAACGAGAAUUAUAUAGUAGGACAUAGUCACCUACAUUGAACUCUCAUUUUUGUAUUCUUUUAUCAUGCCAUAUCUUAACCUUUUCCUUGAACAACUUGGCAUUCUCAUAGGCCUGGGCCCUCCAUUCAUCUAAUGAGCUGAUAUCAAACAACCGCUUCUCACCGGCAAGUUUGAAAUCAAAGUUGAGCUCUUUGAUUGCCCAAUAAGCUUUGUGUUCCAGCGCAAGAGGUAAAUGACAGGCCUUACCGUAAACCAUUUUAUACGGUGACAUGCCCAUGUGAUUCUUAUAAGUAGUCUUAUAAGCCCAUAGUGCAUCGUCAAGUUUGCUAGACCAAUUCUUUCGAGAUCUAUUGACGGUCUUUUGUAAGAUCAAUUUGAUCUCCCUAUUACUCAACUCCACUUGACCACUAGACUGAGGAUGAUAAGGAUAUGCAACUCUAUGGUUGACAUCGUACUUAGCGAGCAUCUUGCGGAAAACACCAUGAAUGAAGUGUGAACCGCCAUCAGUCAUCAGAUAUCUAGGGACUCCGAAUCUUGGGAAAAUGACUUCUUUAAGCAUCUUAAUAGAGGUGUGGUGAUCAGCAUUCUUAGUGGGGAUAGCAUCUACCCACUUAGUGACAUAAUCCACAGCAACUAAGAUGUGAGUGUACCCAUUGGAACUCGGGAAAGGUCCCAUAUAAUCAAAGCCCCAGACAUCAAAUGGUUCAAUGACCAGUGAAUAGUUCAUAGGCAUUUCGUGAUGCUUACUGAUGUUCCCUGUUCUUUGGCAUUCGUCACAAGACAGGACAAACUUACGCGCAUCCUUGAAGAGCGUGGGCCAAUAGAAACCUGAUUGCAAUACCUUAUGAGCAUUUCUGUCUCCAGCAUGGUGUCCUCCGUAAGCCUCGAAAUGACACUUCUGCAGGAUCUGUCCCUGUUCAUGUUCAGGCACACAACGUCUAAUAACACCAUCUACUCCUUCCUUAUAGAGGUGAGGAUCAUCCCAAAAUUAGUGUCUCAAAUCAAAGAAGAAUUUCUUCUUUUGUUGGUAGGUGAAACUGGGUGGUAUGUAUUUGGCUACGAUAUAGUUUGCGUAAUCAGCAUACCAUGGUGCACUAUGUGAAGUGCGGAUGACAUUCAAUUGCUCAUCAGGAAAGCUGUCAUCAAUAGGUCGUGGGUCAUCAAGGACAUUCUCUAGCCUAGACAAGUUAUCUGCUACAGGGUUAUCAGCACCCUUUCGGUCAACAACAUGCAAAUCAAAUUCCUGUAGCAGAAGAACCCAUCUGAUUAGCCUAGGCUUAGCGUCCUUCUUCUCCAUGAGGUACUUAAUAGCAGCAUGAUCAGAGUGAAUAGUGACUUUGGAGUCAACUAUAUAAGAUCUGAACUGUUCACAUGCAAAUACGACUCCUAAAAACUCCUUCUCUGUAGUGGCAUAGUUUCUUUGGGCACUGUCUAGAGUUUUACUAGCGUAGUGAAUGACAUUCAACUUCUUUUCAACUCUUUGUCCUAGAACAGCACCAACAGCAUAAUCACUAGCAUCGCACAUGAUUUCAAAGGGCAAGUUCCAGUCUGGUGGUUGAACAAUAGGUGCGGUUAUCAAGGCCUUCUUAAGUAUUUCGAAAGCUUCCUCACAAUCCUCAUCAAAAACAAAAGGAACAUCCUUCUGCAAGAGGUUGGUAAGAGGCCUAGAAAUCUUAGAAAAGUCUUUAAUGAACCUUCUAUAGAAACCAACAUGACCUAGGAAACUUCGUAUACCUCUGAUAUCUGUGGGGCAAGGCAUUUUCUCAAUUGCAUCAACCUUAGCCUUAUCAACUUCAAUGCCUCUCUCAGAGAUUUUGUGUCCUAAGACGAUGCCUUCAUUAACCAUGAAGUGGCACUUCUCCUAGUUCAAGACAAGGUUGGUAUCCUUGCAUCUCUGUAAGACUCGAUCAAGGUUGCUGAGGCAAUCGUCAAAGGAAGAACCGUAGACGGAGAAAUCAUCGAUGAAAACCUCAACAAUCUUUUCACAAAAGUCAGAGAAUAUAGCCAUCAUACAUCUUUGAAAGGUGGUUGGUGCAUUGCACAAGCCAAAAGGCAUGCGUAUAUAAGCGAAGGUACCGAAGGGGCAUGUGAAGGUGGUUUUCUCUUGAUCAUAUUAUGCAACAGGUAUUUGUGAGAAACCUGAAUAACCGUCUAGAAAGCAGAAGUGUGUGUGUUUAGAUAGCCUUUCUAGCAUCUGGUCAAUAAUAGGCAAAGGAUAAUGGUCUUUCCUAGUUGCCUUGUUCAGUUUCCGGAAGUCUAUCACCAUCCUAUAGCCAGUAAUAAUCCUGUGCGGGACUAGUUCAUCCUUAUCAUUAGGAACGACGGUGAUACCUCCCUUCUUAGGUACGCAAUGUACUGGACUUACCCAAUCACUAUGAGCAACAGGAUAAAUGAUUCCUGCUUCCAGAAGCUUUAAUAUUUCUUUUCUCAUGACCUCUUUCAUCCUAGGAUUUAAUCUCCUUUGAUGAUCAACAACUGGCUUAGAAUCAGGAUCGGUUUUAAUCUUGUGCUGACAUAGAGUGGGACUAAUACCCUUAAGAUCAUCAAGAGUAUAUCCAAUAGCCUCACGGUGCUUCCUCAAAGUUUUUAAUAACUUCUUCUCUUCGUGACUCGAGAGGUGAGCACUAAUAAUAACAGGGUAUAUCUCCUUCUCAUCAAGAUAGGCAUACUUAAGAGUAUCUGGUAACUGUUUUAGCUCGAACACAGGAUCUCCCUUUGGUGGGGGAGGAUCCCCAAGCAGUUACAGGCAAAUUAUUCUUGAGAAUAGGAUAUUGUUCUAAGACAAUUUUAUCUAUCUCAUCUAUUUCCUCCAUAUGCAUAUCAUUUUUAUGCUCAAGCAGAUAUUGCUCUAAAGGAUCUGUAGGAGGUACGACAAUAGAGGCAAGAGCAAUGAUUUCAUCCCUACCAGACGACUCUUUUUCAUGGGGUUGUCUUCCAAACUUGGAGAAGUUAAAUUCAUGAGACACACGCUCGAAACUAACCGUGACAGUCUACUUAAUGCAAUCAAUGUGAGCAUUGACACUGUUGAGAAAGGGUCUACCAAAUAUGAUGGGACAAAAGCUAUCUUGUGUAGUACCAAGGACGAGGAAAUCAGUAGGAUACUUCGCCUUACCACACAGGACUUCUACGUCUCUCACAAUUCCUAGAGGGCACAUAGUGUCUCUAUUAGCUAGCGUAAUAGUGACAUCAAUGGGUUCUAACUCAGCAGGUGCAAUCCCAUCUUUGAUUUCAUCAUAUAGGGAACGAGGUAUUGCACUAACACUAGCUCCCAUAUCACAUAAACCAUGGUAAUAGUGAUCUCCUAUCUUGACAGAAACAACGGGCAGGCCAACUACAGGUCCGUAUUUGUCUUUCGCGUGAGGUUUAACAAUUCUAGCGGAGUCCUCACAGAAUUUGAUAACAUGCCCGUCUAUGUCUUCGGCUAAGAGAUCUUUGAUAAUAUCAACUCUAGGUUCAACUCUAAUUUCCUCAGGGGGUGCAAGUGGUCUAAUGUAACCCCUACGUAUCACAGUUAGAGCUUUAGAAUAAUCCUUUAUCCUAGCAGGGUAAGGUGGUUUCUCGGUGUAGCCACAAGGAACAACAGGAUCACUAAAAUCAAUGACUUUCUCCUCAACUAGAUUGGUUUUGGCUAUGUUCCUUUCUACAGGAGGAUGAUAUUUAAACCACUUCUCUUUGGGAAGAUUUACAUGAGCAGCAAAAUAUUCACAUAGAGAAGCUACUAUCUCAGAGUCAAGUCCAUACUUAGCGCUAAAAUCUCUAGAAGUGUUUGUCUCAACAAAAGAUUUAACGCAAUCAAAGUGGAAAUUCAUACCUGACUCCUUACCUUCUUCUAGCUCCCAAUCUUCAGAGUUACGUUUGAUUCUUUCCAAUAAAUUCCACUUGUGGUCAAUAUCCUUGUUCAUAAAAGAACCGGUACAAGAAGUGUCAAGCAUGGUACGAUCUUCAUGAGAAAGCCGAGCAUAAAAGUUUUGAGUGAUAAUUUCUCUCGAGAGCUCAUGAUUGGGGCAUGAAUAUAGCAUUGAUUUAAGCCUCCCCCAAGCUUGAGCUAUGCUUUCCCUGUCACGAGGCCAAAAGUUAUAAAUAUAAUUCCGAUCACGAUGUACUAAAUGCAUAGGAUAAAACUUUUGUUGAAAUUCCAAUUUCAACCGAUUGUAGUCCCAUGAUCCAGUAUCAUCACAUAGCCUAUACCAUGUCAACGCCUUAUCCUUCAAAGAUAAAGGAAAGACUUUCUUCUUUACCUCAUCCUCAGGCAAACCUGCAAGCUUAAAUAAACCACAAACUUCAUCUACAUAGAUUAGAUGCAAGUCUGGAUGUGAAGAUCCAUCUCCUGUAAAAGGAUUAGCCAACAGUUUCUCAAGCAUACCCGAAGGGAUUUCAUAAGAGAUAUUUUCAGUAGGUACCUCAGGUUGAGGAACAACUCCUCGUGAUUCCGUUCGUGGUGAAGAUACGCCGAACAAACUCCUCAAAGGAAUAGUUUCCAUAGUGACAAGUGACAAUGAAUUUCAGCACAGUAUAUAAAUGUUUCCUUACCAAAUUCCACUUACCAAAGGCGCUCCCUCCCCGGCAACGACGCCAGAAAAGAGUCUUGAUGACCCACAAGUAUAGGGGAUCAAUCGUAGUCCUUUUGAUAAGUAAGAGUGUCAAACCCAACGAGGAGGAGAAUUCUCUGAUAAAAGUUUUUCAGCAAGGUAAUAACUGCAAGCACUGAAAGUAGCGGUAACAAGUGAUGGUGUAGUGAGGUGAAAUGUAGCAAGCGAAAAGUAACAAGUAACAAGUAGUAGCAACGGUGCAGAAAGUGGUCCAAUCCCUUUUGUAGCAAGGGACAAGCCUGAACAAAGUCUUAUAAGAGGAAAAAUGCUCCCGAGGACACACGGGAAUUUCUGUCAUGCUAGUUUCAUCAUGUUCAUAUGAUUCAAGUUCGUUACUUUGAUAGUUUGAUAUGUGGGUGGACCGGCGCUUGGGUACUGCCCUUACUUGGACAAGCAUCCCACUUAUGAUUAACCCCUCUCGCAAGCAUCCACAACUAUGAAAGAAGAAUUAAUACAAUGUCUAACCAUAGCAUUAAACUAGUGGAUCCAAAUCAGCCCCUUACGAAGCAACGCAUAGACUCGGGUUUAAGCUUCUGUCACUCCAGCAACUCAUCAUCUACUUACUACUCCCCAAUGCCUUCCUCUAGGCCCAAAUAUGGUGAAGUGUUGUGUAGUCGACGUUCACAUAACACCACUAGAGGAAAAACAACAUACAUCAUAUCAAAAUACCGAACGAAUACCAAACUCACAUGACUAUUAUUAGCAUGACUUAUCCCAUGUCCUCAGGAACAAAAGUGACUACUCACAAAGCAUAAUCGUAAUCAUGAUCAUAGGUGUAAUGAAUAGCAUCAAGGAUCUGAACAUAAACUCUUCCACCAAGUAAUCCAACUAGCAUCAACUACAAAUAGUAAUCAACACUACUAGCAACCUUACAAGUACCAAUCGGAGUCGUGAGACGGAGAUUGGUUCCAAGAGAUGAACUAGGGAUUGGAGAGGAGAUGGUGCUGCUGAAGAUGUUGAUGAAGAUGCCUCCCCUCCGACGAGAGGAGUGUUGGUGAUGACGAAGGCGACGAUUUCCCCCUUCGGGAGGGAAGUUUCCCCGGCAGGAUCGUCCUGCCGGAGCUCUAGAUUGGAUCUGCUCAAGUUCCGCCUCGUGGCGGCGGCGAAACCACGAAAAAGCUCGUGAAUGAUUUUUUUUCUGGAACGAAACCCUUCAUAUAGCAAAAGAGGGGGGCCAGUGGGCUGCAAGGGUGCCCACAAGCCCUGUUGCCGCGACAACCAGGCUUGUGGGCCCCUAGUUGCUCCCCUCUGACACUUCUUUCGCCCAGUAUUUUUUUAUAAAAUCCAAAAAAAUCCACGUUGAUUUUCAGGACAUUUGGAGUUGCGCAGAAUAGAGCACUCAGACUUGCUCCUUUUCCAGUCCAGAAUUCUAGCUGUCGGUAUUCUCCUCUUCAAAUAAACCUUGCAAAAUUAGAUAGAAAAGGCAUAAGUAAGGUUCCACAAAGUAUAAUAACAUGAAAGCAUGAUGCAAAAUGGACGUAUCAGGGGUCGUGCGGACUCUGUCGGGUGUAGAUCCGGCCGGCGCAACCCAGGUCGGCCAACGUUGGGGGCGCGGCGCGACAUCGGCCAAGGGGGCCGCGGCGAGGAGGGAGCGCGACACAACACGGCGCAGGACGAGCGGGGCAUGGUGCAACGAGCUGGCGGCGAUCGGCGUGGGCGGGGCUAGCGAGCACGGCAAGCGGGCAACGACCAACGUAGACGUGGCGACCUUGGGGAGGCGCGGCGUCCUGUGGGAGGCGGGCGAGCGGGGCGAGCGGGGGGAGGCGGGCGAGCGGGGGGAUUGACCGCGAGACGACGUGGGGGGUGGGCAAUUAGCGCUAACAAAAACUGUCUAGUUUGGUUAAUGAAAUAGACAGACCAUGGAUUAAGUGUUUGGAGGGUCUAGAUGUAGAGAUGGAUCUUCCCUCUUGUGCUUUUAAUAGUAGAUAUGUAAGAUCGACAACUUUUACUUGCUUUCAUUAUUUUUCAACUAGAAACUUUCUCAAUUUGUAUUGAAAUAAUAUAAUGCACACCUCAUGUUUGCCUUCAUGUUUCUCUUUUAAAGUAUUAUAGUUAGUGAGGAUUCAAUUUUGCAUCAUGGGCUUUUAUACGCCGCUCACGGGGUGCAUUAUAUGUUGGAUACUAGCAUAAAGUAUGUGCAUUGCCAUGGAACUAGAAAAAUCAUUUAGUUGCAUUAGAGUAGUACUUCCUGUGUAAACUAAUAUAAGAACGCUUAGAUUACUAAAGUAGUGUUCUAAAUGCUCUUAUAUUAGUUUAUGGAGGGAGUACAUAACAACUAAUACGCCCCUAACACUUUGAAGAACAAAUUAAACAUGGAGCUAACGUUGUACUUACUUACACGAGUGUGCCAACGUCGGGAGCAUCAUGAUAAGAUAUGUUUUAUCUCUUUUCACGCCGGAUUAGUCCGGUGAGUUUUAGAUGGAUGAGAAAUGAUGAAAACAUCCCUACUACAGUUACAACCACACCCCACGCAAACUAAAGUCUCACAAAUAUAAGGGACAAUGAUCAAAGCUUGCACACAAUAACUUAAUUAUGAGGUAUUUGAUUUUCUAUGAACUUUCACUAUUGUUCAUGAGACUAUAAUGUUGUCUAAGUCAGACGUAUUUGUAUUUUCAGGACUGAAAGGUCGAGCAUGGACAAGCGGGACACGUACUAUAGUAUGAUCAAGCCUGGAGAUGGCAUCACGUCUACAAGAAGCGAAAACUAAAAGCACAACUUCUUCCUAAGGUGGUUUUAGUAAUUAAUCACAACAUAUGUGUCAUUGAACUAAUGAUCUUAUCUAAGUAUAUUUCAGAAAAGUUCAAAGAUGCAUUGGCUAAGGAUUAUGAGGAGAACCCCUUGAUGCAAGGAAAGGAAUAGGAUUGGCCAAGCUUCAAGCUACAAGACUCUACAUUUUAUAUUUGUGAGAAAUCACAUUUGAGUCCGUAGGAAAACCAAUACUAUUAAAAGGGGGUGAGGUAUCUAUGAUGAAUUGGUUGCUCAAGAGCUUAGAGAUAUCCACCAAAAAUACUCAGUCAUUCUCCUACAAAAGUUAUCUAUCCAAAGCCUAAACAUCAAAAUCGGUGUCACCAAGAUUUUCCAUCCGGCCCUACCGAUUUUCCACCAGACUGAACCUUUGCCAAACCAUAGAAUCUCGGUACCACCAACGUUCCAUUCAGUGUCACCAAAAAUCAGUGACGAAGUUUCUGGUAUGUUGUUUUCAAAAUCAGAAAUUUCGAGUCUUGGAAUUGGUCUCACCGAGAUUUGGAAACUGCCCUAGAUCACCAUAUCGGUACCACCGAGAUUCCUACAUCGGUCUCACCGAGAAUUCGAAAGUAGCAACAUUUUGUGCAAAUCGGUGCCAUCGAGAUUCACUUUGGUUUCACCGAGUUGGGCAAUAAUGUUGUAAUGACUGGAUUUUGGGAGAUGCCUAUAUAUACCCAUCCACCACCUCUCAUUCGCAGAGAAAGCACUCAGAACACACAUACACUUGCCAUAUCCAUUUUUCUGAGAGAGAGCCACCUACUCAUGUGUUGAGAUCAGGAUAUUUCAAUCCAUCCAUUUGAAACUUGAUCUCUAGCCUCCCCAAGUUGCUUUCCACCCAAUCGAUGUGCUCUACCCAUGACAAAUCUGUGAGACAGUGAUUGAGUGUUGAGGCGACUAUAUUUUGAAGCAUAAGAGCAAGGAGUUCAUCAUUCUACCGCAUCUAUUACCUUUUGGAGGGUGGUGCCUCUUAGAUUGGUUAGGUGUCGCUUGGGAGCCUCCUAUUUCGUAUUGUGGAGUUGAACCAAGAAGUUUGUAAGGGCAAGGAGAUCACCUACUUCAUGAAGAUCUACCCUAAGUGAGAAUAGUCCUUCGUGGGUGUAAGCCAUGAUGGAAUAGACAAGGUUGCUUCUCCAUGGACCCUCCGUGGAAUCGUGUUGUCGUUACCCUCCAUGGGUUGAAAUCUCCAUCAACGUGGACAUACGAUAGCACCACCUAUCGGAACCAUGCCAAAAAUCAUUGUGUCAACCUUUGCAUUUGAUCUUCCUAUCCCUACCCUCUACUUACAUAUGCAUGGCAUUACUUUCCGAUGCUAUACUCUUAGUCUUGCAUGUGUGGGGUGUGCUUGACUUACAACAAUUGUUAAAACUUGCCCACAACUAAAAUUGGAAAAAGGCUAAGUUUUUAUCUGGUCAGGUAGUCUAAUCACCCCCCUCUAGACAUACUUCAGAUUCUACAAGUGGUAUCAGAGCUUUGGUCUCCAUUGCAUUGGUUUCACAACCUAGGAAAGUAUGCCGUCUAGUGAGGGAAAUUAUCAUCGUAUAGGUCCAUAUUUUGAUGGUACAAGAUUUGCUAGUUGGAAGCUUAAGAUGAAAUGCAUAUUCUUGGUCAUAACCCUGCUGUUUUGGUUGUUGUUUGUGUUGUUUUGCAAGGUCAAUUCUUUGGUGAUCGAAUGGAACCAGAACGUGAAGCUACUUACUUCGAAAGAAUUGAAGAUGUUGCAAUGCAACGCUUAAGCAUGCGACAUUCUGUUCAACUGCCUCGGCCCCGAAGAGUUCUACGAGAUCAACUGUCUUUGCUCAUUCGAGGAUAUCCAAUUGUUGUUAUUUGGCAUUCCAUUUUAUUUGGCCAAUUGGAUAUACAAGAAUGCCUAAGUACCCCUCUCUAGCUAUCUAUGAUUUCUCGUCUCAAAUUCUAUUCAUGCUACAUCACAAAAUUUGAGCAAGCACUUUAGGGACACUCUGUGUGAGGAGCACUCGGGAUCCUCUCGACAAGAGUUGGCAUCCAAAACUUCCCAUGUGCCGCUCGAUGUGACCAACCCCAAAAUCUCGCUCCCAUCGAAGCACUAGGGUUGAUCUAGUUUUAUGAUCUCGGUAGCACCAAUUUGUAAAUCUUGGCCUCACCGAGUUUCACUUUCACCACACAUUUAUGAAACUCGGUGGCACCGAUAUUUCUAAUGCGAUGUCACCUACAGAGGGUAUAUAUAUAUCCAGCGGACCCGACUUUUUAAAUCAAUUUUCAAAUUUCGCCCUCCAGAAACCCUUGUUGCCGUGCUUGAGUCUACGGAUGUCUUAUCUUCCUCUCAGUGCGCCCUUGCCACCGGAGUUCCUCGCCGCCGCCGGGAAUCUCCUCCGUCGUUGCCACCGUAGGAGAUCUGCACCAAGUUAGGGUAAAGAUCUUGCCCCUCUUGUGUUCAGUGUCCAAUUCUUGCACAUUAGGACUUUUUCAUCAUCUUGCCACGGAUUGCAAAGCACCUAUCCACAGAAAACGCCUACUAUAUUAGGUGUACGAAAAAAAUUUAGGUUUAAUUUUCUGCCUUUCUGUCUCAGUGUCACCGAUGCAGAGAAAUUAGUCCAACCGAUUUUACUUUUAGGGUUACUAAGAACACUCUCAGUGAGACCGGGCUGCUCAUUUCGGUGAAACCGAAGUGGGUGGCCAAGUCUGUGUUAAUGAGAGUGUAUGCCUCGGUGACUCCAAAAAUUAUGAAUCGUUGGAACCGAAACCCACUUAGAUGAAAGUGAAACUUAAAACUUUGAGUUGAAAUUCUUGAAAACUUUUGUGUUUUGUGAUGCUCAUCCACUCCUGCUCUUCUACAACUAUUCACAGGGUCAGCUUGUUUGCUUGUCAGCUUGUAAGCAUGUCAGGGUCUGAAGACAGCGAGAAUGUUUCUAGAGAACCAUGUGUGGAAAUGGACCCAUGCACUAGUCUAGAGAAGACUACUUCUGAUCUAGGCGCUCCAAGUUCACAUGAUAUGCCAAAGGCUACUACCAGGUCCAGGAAGAAGUUGAUUUCAAAUGAGGAGGAUACUGGCUUCAUUCUUGAAGAAAGCAUUCCUCACAAGAAUAAGGAGAGAGUAACGGUCAGAAAGAUCCUAGAGUAUGUUUCAGCCAAGAGAGGGUUGUAUCAAUCCUCUGAGCAACCAAGUGGGUCUAGAAGGAUAAAGACUCUAGCCAAGAAGCCACGGCAAAAGAGAAUUAGGAAGAGGACAGUGCAUGUUGUUGGAAGGCCAACAUAUAUGUAUGAAGAUCCAACCGAAUCUGUUGAGGAAGAAGAGGAAGAGGAACCUGCCAAUCCACCUCCUUCCAAGAAGAAGAACCCGAUGGCUCAUGCUAUGCCCACAAGUCUACUCCAAAGAGAAAGUCUUCUGCUCCCAAGGCCAAGAAGCCCGUAGCUCCUAAGCCCAAGAGAACUACAAGGAAAUUCCUGCAGCACAGAAAAACAAAAAGUUGUGCAUCCAGAGAUGUUGCUGUAGAAGAAGAAGAAGAACAUGUUAUGCUGAGAAAGAUGAGAGCUCACCUACCAUUGCAUAAUGAUGAUCAUCAUGUCACCGAGGACAUGAAGAAGAGAAGAGAUCAAGGUCUGAGACUAUGGAGAGCAGCAUAUCCCUAUGUUGUGAGAAGAACACCUGUUGAUGCUCGAUUUCAUACCAAAGAGCAACAAGAUUUCUAUAAGACUGUGAUUUUGGACAUGAGUCCUGUUGUAAGCGAUAUGAAAUGUAGAUUGGGGCUACAUCAAGAAACAUGAGGACUUAUUUCCUCAUGUGAGAGAAAACUUCAGGGCUAUUGAUAUUGAAGAUUUUGUUGGCAGAGAGAUGACUGCUUGGAAUGAUGAGAUGAUCAUGCAGUUCUACUUCGCUGCACGUUUCUAUCCGGAUGGUAGAAUUGUGUGGAUGACUGAAGGUUAGAGAUCGAGUCAACUAUUGAGGAGUGGGCAACCAUCAUAGGUGAUCCAAAGGUUCAAGAAGCGACUUGGAUGUGUACUCUGGGCCAAAAAUGAAUCGUAACUCUAUGACUAAUAUGUACAAUCCAGUGCUCCACAAGUAUUUGAAGGCCCACAAGCUUGGCUCUGUCUAUUUCCUACAAGCAGGAAUACCCACUACCCACACUAUUAUGAGGUACACCCUAAUGCCUAAAUCAAGAGAUGAUAAGAUGAUCAGAGGGUAUUCCAUUAACAUGUUGCACCACAUUAUCACUCACACCAAGAUUACAGUGAUGGAUAUGAUAGUUGAGAUAGUCAGGAGGACUGUUGCUGAUCAAAAGAGAUCAUGCGGAUAUGCUCUGUACAUGCAGAUGUUGAUAAACUCCAAGAUGGAGAAGAAUGCAUAUCAACUUUAUCGUCCACAUCUGCCACUACAGCCUGAAUUUGAAGACAAUGAAGUUGUGAUGGACCCCAGCCAUCCCAGUUCAUCUUCAGCUCGUGUACAUGCAGAGACAACAUUAGAGGCAGAGGAAGCCAGAGCAUCUCCAGCUCCAGAGUUGUGAACCCGAGAGGAACAAACGACAUUCCUUGUCAGCACCAUCCAGAGGAUGGAGAAAUAAAUUACAUACAUCUUACUAAACCAGAAGAGUCUUGAGAGGAUCGUGGAGACAAAAUUCCAUGACCUGGACAUCAAAGUGACGGAGUUGACUACCACUUUUGAACAGCUGAAACAUGAAGUUUAUGCAGUGCACACACCUUGAUCUAGUAGUGAUGGUGAGGAUGAUACGUUUCUUCCCACUACCACUCAGUUCAGAACUCAGGCCAGAUCUGUAGUUGUGUUAGUACCGGAAGCCAGACCAACUUCAUCAGCCCAAGCAUCAGCAUCUUCACCUCCAUUAGCUCCACCAGCUCCUGCACCUCUAGUGUCAACAGCUCCACCUCAGAAGAUUUCAGCCGAUGCUCUCUUGUCAACUCCAUCAACUACUAUUGAACGAGAUUGUGCCGAGAGCAAUGCUUAGUUCUAGACCUUUGAACUUCUUGUUAACUUGUUGCCAAAAGGAUAGAAGUGUAUAGAUCUAUAGGGCUGAGAGAGAGAGAGAGAGAGAGAGAGAGUUGUGCUUUUUAUUGCUCUCUUUGGUUUUACAAAACAUUUGGUCUUUUGGAUGUCUUAAACUUCGUUGUGUUUGAUCAUACGCUUUGAUUGUUGAUGCUACUACUUUAUAUCUUUGAGUAUCUACAUGAUGAUCAUUCACUCAUUGUUUGGUGCAAUGUGCAUUUCUAUCCAUUCAUAUAAUUUAUGCACACCACCAAGAUGUAUGUGACAUGGAAGAGUGACCCAUGAUCCUAAUCGAUUGUGCAUUUGCAUUCAAGCGCAAAUCUGAAAUAAUGCACAAAUUUAGGGGGGAGCUCUUCCUUUUCAAAAACUUCUCAAAGCGACGAUGCUAAUCAUUGAUUAUAUCUUUUGUCUAAGCUUUGAUCUAUAUGUUGUCGUCAAUUACCAAAAGGGGGAGAUUGAAGCACAACUUCUCCCUAAGGUAGUUUUGGUAAUUAAUCAUAACAUGUGUGUCAUUGAACUAAUGAUCUUACCUAAGCAUAUUUUAGAAAAGUUAAAAUAUGCAUUGGCUCAGGAUUGUGAGGAGAACCCCUUGAUGCAAGGAAAGGAAUAGGAUUGGUCAAGCAUGAAACUACAAGACUCUACAUUUUAUAUUUGUGAGAAUUUACAUUUGAGUCCAUAGGAAAGCCAAUACUAUUAAAAGGGGGUGAGGUAUCUAUGAUGAAUUUGUUGCUCAAGUGCUUAGAGAUAGUCACCAAAAAUACUCAACCAUUCUCCCAAAAAAGUUUGAUGUCCAAAGCCUAAACAUAGAAAUCAGUGCAACCAAGAUUUUCCAUUCGGCCCUACCGAUUUUACACCAAACUGAACCUUUGCCGAACCCUAGAAUCUCGGUACCACCAACAUUCCAUUCGGUGCCACCAAAAAUGAGUGACCAAGUUUCCGGUAUGUCGUUUUCAAGAAUUGGAAAUUCCGAGUCUUGGAAUCGGUCUCAUCGAGAUUUGGAAACUUCCCUAGUUCACCAUAUCGGGACCACUAAGAUUCCUAUAUCAGUCUCACCGAGAACUCGAAUGUUGCCGCAUUUUGGACAAAUUGGUGCCACCGAGAUUCACUUAGGUAUCAUCGAGUUGGGAAAUAAUGUUGUAACAGUUGGAAUUUGGGAGAUGCCUAUAUAUACCCAUCCACCACCUCUCAUUUGCACAGGAAGCACUCAGAACACACAUACACUUUCCAUAUCAAUUUUUCUAAGAGAGAGCCACCUACUCAUGUGUUGAGAUCAAGAUAUUCCAAUCCAUCCGUUUCAAACUUGAUCUCUAGGCUUCCUAAGUUGCUUUCCACCCAAUCAAUAUCUUCUACCCAUGGAAAAUCCGUGAGAGAGUGAUUGAGUGUUGAGGAGACUAUCUUUUGAAACACAAGAGCAAGGAAUUCAUCAUUCUACCGCAUCUAUUACCUUUUGGAGGGUGGUGCCUCCUAGAUUGUUUAGGUGUCGCUUGGGAGCCUCCUUCUUCGUGUUGUGGAGUUGAACCAAGAAGUUUGUAAGGGCAAGGAGAUUGCCUACUUCGUGAAGAUCUACCCUGCGUGAGGCUAGUCCUUCGUGGACGUAAGCCCUGAUGGAAUAGACAAGGUUGCUUCUCUGUGGACCCUCCAUGGGUUGAGCCCUCCAUGGACUCACAUGGCUGUUACCCUCUAUGGGUUGAAGUAUCCAUCAACGUGGACGCAUGAUAGCACGACCUAUCGGAACCACACCAAAAAUCAUUGUGUCAACCUUUGCGUUUGAUCUUCCUAUCCUUACCCUCUACUUACAUAUGGAUGCCAUUACUUUCCGCUGCUAUACUCUUAGAAUUGCAUGUGUAGGGUGUGCUUGAGUUACAACAAUUGCUAAAACUUGCCCACCACUGAAAUUAGGAAAAGGCUAAGUUCUUAUUUGGUCAAGUAGUCUAAUCACCUCCCCCUCUAGCAUACUUCAGAUCCUACAAAAAUGGGGCUUCAAGUUUGAAAGUGCUAGUUCUCGACUAGAGGGGGAUGAAUAGGCGAUUUUUAUUAAAAGUUUCGAAAAAGUAAAUGUACUCAAAGUUAAGUGGAAGCUAUAUAGGAUCAUGUUGGGAUAACAAUCAAGGAUCUAGGCAUACCAUGCAAUAGUAUGAAUACAUUCACACAUAUAGAGCAUAACCAUCAUGCAGACUAAGAUGUAUCGAAGAUAAACUUAGGUAGUGUGAAUAUAAACGACAGUUAGGAAUGUCUUCGAUGAAUGUCUUCGAGUUGAUAUGCUCAAGCAAUGCCUUCACAAUAUAGUACAGUAAGUAAGAGAUUGAAAGAUAGAACGAGUAGCUUGAUGAAGACACAUGAUUCGUUGGACUAGUUCCACUUGCUGUGACAACUAUACGUCUGGUUGGGGAGGCUUAAACCUCGUCUUCACCUUGAUCCCCUUGAGUCGAGGACUUUGUGACCACGCCCAAUCACUCAGGUAAGUAUUCAGGGGAGACUUCCGAAACCCGUUCAAACUUGGUCACCCGUCAAUCCAUAAUGAUUCUUGGAUUGAUCUUGACCAUGGUCAUCCGACAAUCCACCAUGAAUCUUGAUGCACUGGACCAUGAUGCCUAAUCGUCUGGAAGAUCAUAGUCUUCAAGUGUUACAAGUCUUCAGUUCUCUCAAAACAGAACGACUUCGCUAACGCUCAAACAAUAUGGCUCUAGGUGUUUGUGUUUAUCCUCGUAGGAUAGUUCUCUCUCUCAAUGUCUUUGAGGUGGGUUGCUCCAAAACAACAACACCAUAUCUAACUCUAAGCAGCCGCCAACUUAUGCUGGAGGGUGGGCUAUUUAUAGCCAACAUGCAACCCUACAUGUUAUGACCAAAAUGACCUUGGGUCAAUGGCCAACCGACACGUGUUCCAACGGUCGGAUUUCAAAAACACACGUGGCAACAUUACUUGGACUACAAGUAAUGCUGACUCAACCAAAUAUGGAAGGGAUUUCCUCUCGUUGUUUUUGAUCGAAGACAUAGGUAAUUGUGGGUUGAGCAUUAUGUCAGCAUCUGACUUCGAUCAUAUCGACCCCACUUAAUAGUAUGGUGGUUCCUAUGACUUAGGAAAGAAGAAACAAAGAAAAAAAAAGACUUUGUCUUCGCGUUUCAUUAUCUUCAAGAGAUUUUCUUCGCAUACCACCAAUGGCUUCGGCCAUCAUCAAUAUCUUCAGACAUUUUUGCGGGUCGUCUUCAAUGGUUAAACUGAAUCUCCAGGGACUUCUAUCUGUGUUAACCUAUGAAGUCUCAUAGACACAUUAGUCCCUCAACCACGUUUGUCUUCAAUACUCCAAAACCAACAAGGGGUGGCACUAGAUGCACUUACAGUCUCCCCCUUUUUGGUGACUGAUGACAAACUGGUUGAAGUUUUCAAUGGGGAUAAAAAUGUGUGAGGGUAAACACUUAGAGAUUAUGAUUGCAAGAUAUAGAGAGCAACCCCUGAAGAUGUGCUUAUGAAGAUUUUGCUUUGAAUGCAAAGGCACAUGGGAUGUUGUAGUUAGUGGAGAUAUCCCCCUAUAUCUUGGAAUCCAAUCACUAUGCAUUUUAAAGGUUUCAUGAAGAUAAUGAAAUGCAUAAUGAAAAAUGGGUGUUUGCUGAAUGACUUCGGACGGAUAUGAUAAGAUAUGGAAUAGCGCUAAAGUUAUGAUAAACAAAGAAUGUGCGCACGUCCAUCAGGACUUAAGUUUUACAACCCAAAAGAGCAAAUGUUGAGAACAAGAGUUGUAAACGUAACAAAAUAGUAGCACUCAACCCAUAAAGACCUGUUCAAAUACUAUUAAUCCAAUGUUUCUCCCCCUUUGUCAUCGAAUGACCAAAAAGGGCAAAGACAUUGGGCACUACUCAUCCCCGACUUGUGAAGAUGUUGGUGCAGCAGGGUCAGUGGAGGUUGGUGCACACUGGCUUGGUGCAGUGCCGAGGCGAUCCAUUGUUGUAGCCGGAGAAGUGACAUCAACAGUUUCAUCAUUGGCAAUAUUGGCAUGAAUGAAUGGUGCGGAACAAGAGUAGCCACUGUCUUUGAGAGAUGGGAUCUUGCCCCAUUUUUUCGUACAAGGAGGAGGGGCACCAAAUUCGAAGUGUUUGUCAAAGCCAUCCUCACGAAGAUAUUCCUCUGGAGCCAAGAGAGUCAAUGUCUUUGAAGAACGCGUGCAAGUUUCAUGUGAAACAAAGGAAUUCUUGGUGGAGAGGUUGCAGAUGCAAUUGAUAUGUGUUACCAGAGAACCCAUUUGUCUUUGCAUCUAAUCAUGGUGACAGUCUUGUUUUUGUAUGAGAGAAAAAAGAAGCUCUCGAUUAGUCAUAGCACGUUACCUUCUAGGUUGGGGUUGUUGUGGCAGAGUGCUUGCAGUGGCUUCAGUUGUAGUGGCACUUGGCUGUGGUCGUUGAAUGGAGCCAAUAAGCCUUGCCCGAGAUGGAUUAGAUGGUAUGAGAAGCCCUUCAACAUCAGUAGUGCCACUAGUCCCUUCAAGGAUGGGAUUCUUGCCCUUCGAUGGAUAAAUAUCUUCGUGUUUGACUUCCACUUCCGGAAGAUAAAUUCCAUGAUUGUGAUUAGAGGGUAGAAACCUUGUAUUUGAUCGACACUUAAAGAAACGCAUGAUCCAUGGUGCAUAGAUCUUGAGUUCAAAGAGAUUGAUGCUAUUGGCAGCCAGGGUUAUCAAAAAUAAAUGUGAAAGAUUGAAUCUAAUGCCAUGACGACAUUGUAGAUCAAAGUAUUCAAUGCCCUUCCAACUUGCUUGAAGAAUAAUACCCUUCUAUGGCCAUAUGGUGUGACGAAGAAUACGGUAGAUAGUCUUCGGCAGAUAUUGAAGAUCAUCAAUAAAAAUGUUGUGGGAAAAUCAGCAUCUAGGGCCAAAGGCUUCAUUAGUGUCAACAUAUCAGUCAUGUUGGGCUCACACACUUGAAAGAUGCUUCUAGUGGGUUAUUCAUAGGCAACAAAUUUUGGAUCAAGAUCUUCGCGUGAUGCAACAAGUGGAGUGGUGGCAAAGAAUUCCAUAGAAGGAGUUCACGGAUCAUGAAAUCCAUAGCUCAUGUCUUCAGAUCUCAUCCAUAGCCAAAGAUGUGGGGAGUUGCAUAAAAUAGAAGAAUCAAUUCUUCGUUCCAGUCUUCAUGGUCAACAACAAAUGGCAACAAUCCAACAUCUCUAAGGCAAUCAAGGGCUUGGUCAAAGCAAGGAAGACCACUCCUGCCUUCCAUGCUAAGAUGUUUGUGGGGGGAAAAUCAUGUUCUAGCCAUAUAGUACACAUGUAUAGUAGGUGUAACACCCAAAAUGAGGUACUAUACUCAUCCGGUCUCGAGGGCUUUGAUAGGGAUAGAAGCACAUCUCUUCGUUUCGGAAGAAUGGAUAUCAUGAGAAGUACAUCUAAAGAGGAGAUGAGUAUAUGGAAUUGGCUUACACUCGCCACAAGCUAAAUCAUGAUAAUCUCAAUAUAAUCAUCCAUUGCAAUCAUCAUACAUAAAAGCAAGGUACGACUACGGGCGAAAUCGAACGAUAAAAGCAACAUCCAUCCUUGCUAGUCCCAGGCUGCCGUCCUGAAACCCAUCCUUUAAUCGAUGAAGAAGAGGAAGAAGAAAUCCAAAUCAAACAAGCAUCGCUCUCAUGUCAAAGCAUCGUAUUACCUAUACCUGCAACUAUUGUAGUAGUAAUAUGUGAGCCACGGGGACUCAACAAUCUCAUUUCCAAGGGUAUCAACACUAGCAAAGCUUAAUGGGUGAGGCAUGGUUAAGUGGUGAGGCUGCAGCAAGCACUAAGCAUUCAUUCUAGUGGCUAACUUACUAGUACAAGAAUAAGAAGAGUCAUCUACGCAUAAAUGGACAUGAACUAGAAAUGACCCUGAACACCUACUUGCGAGUCAAACAUCACCCCACUGUGUUCCCUUCUUGGUUCAAACCUCACAAGAAGAGACGGUCACGGCUACACACACGGUUGGUGCAUUUUAAUUGAGUUUACUUCAAGUUUGAUAUGACCAAGUGUUAAACAAAUUUCCAAGUUGCCACAUAACCGCGAGCACGACUCUCACAGAGAUGUAAUCCUGUAGGGGUGCUCCAACUCAUCCAUCACAAACUAGCCACAAGCUGCACUGGAAAAACUGAACCUCGAGAUAGCCCAAGGUAUCCUCGAAGUCAGAGUGCACAAGACAUUCGAGAAAGGUAAAACAAAUCCAGCAAGGCUGCCCAGCAAGCCGACAAUCCCGAUAGGGGCCGCAUAUCUCGUUCUUAGGAGAUGACCAGAUGAGCAAGAUGUCUGGUUGGCUGAAAUCCCGGGUGACAACGGGGCGCUGGACAUCGCCUGUUUUGGGCCAGCACCAUCAACAUUGGCCCACCCUGUAUUAUGUUGAAUUAAUCUGCAGGUAAUGCUAACUCCCUAUGCAUUAAUAACGGUGUUCCGUAUUAUUAUGUUGAGCAAAGAUAGUACAAAUAUUGGGCCUUUCCAGACGAGUUUUAUCCCAAAACAAAAAUCAAGGGGUCCCCAUAACUACCCCAAGCAUGUUAGUAGCGCUCAAUAUGGAACAUAACACCGGUACACAAGUAACUAGGGCGACAAAGGUGGAACAAAACACCGAGCAAAAGGCCAAUCCUUCCACCUUUUACCAAGUAUAUAUGUGUAUUAAAUUAAAUAGAAAUAAUAUUGUGAUAUUUCAAAGAUAUCCAUGUUGUCACAUGGAAACAACGUGCACCUGCAAUUAAGAAUGCUAUAAGAUGGGUUGAGCAAGCGAUAACUAAAUGGCAUAAGGUGAAGAUGAAAUUAAGCAAUUUAAAUGAAUAAGGAGAGCAUACACAUAACAAAUCAUACCUCUCCAUAUUAAGGGAAAUGCUGUUAAUGUUGUUUUAACUAAACAAUCAUUUUAAAUGUUGUUAAACAUGAAAAAAGGUGAAGCAUAAACAACUACAUCAUCUAGCCAUUUUAAAUGAGGUCGGAAGCAACAUAUAGCAUAUCUGAAGCGACCCCAUAUGAAAAUUACAAAUUUGGUCCACAUAUAUUCUAAACAUAUUACAUUAUUUAAAUAGAAAACUAAAGCGCACCAUGUUAUUCUACACAUUUUUCUAGUCAAGUUACAUAUGUGAAACAUUUUAAUUGGAGCUAUGGUUAUCUAGUUAUGAAAUAAAUUAUUUUAACAUCGAAGUUAUGCAAAUUAAUGCAAACAACAAGUUUAAACAUUUUAAUCAUGCGAGAAAGUUGGAAACUAUUAAUCUAGACAAAAUUCUGAACAUUUUACAUAUAUAAAAUUGUUACAUGCGAUGCACGGUUUGAGAGUUUUUAUAUGCAUGAAGUUCGAGGGGUUCUAAGCAAAUCUGCAAUUUCCUGGUUUAUUGGAGAAAUUGCACGAGCUGAAAAAAACAAUAUGGGCUGAAUGUGGAACAGAAUCUGCACAAAAUUGAAAGUGCGUUAUAUCGCAUAGAGGGGGGUGAAUAGGCGAUUCUUAUAAAUUCAUCAGUGAGGAAUUUCUACUUGAAGAAAUUGCUAAGAGACGAACUACUUCCAGCGGAAUAAGUACUCAGAUGUAAGCAUGGAAAGGUAUAAGCAUAGUCAUCAUAACAAAAUGAAAAAUACACAGAGUGUGAGUAGCAUGAAACAGGGUAAGCAUGUGAAGAACAAAGUGAAUGAAGAAUUUGAGAUGAGAAAAUAGAGGAAGUCUUUAGACAAAGUCUUCAAACAGUACCAAUCAAUCACAUCAACAAGUAUAGGAGGAAAUGAAAGAGUUGAGGAAAUAGAAGUAGGAGCUCAAUGAACACAAUGAUUUGAUGACCCAGUUCCAACUGUUGUGAUAGACGUACGUCUAUUUUGGAGCUGAUUGGUAUUUAAACCAAAGGACACAGGUCCUAGGACACAAAAUCCUUACCGUAUUCUCCUUGAGCUAAGGUCAUACAGACCUCAUCCAACACUCCUGGUAAGUCUUCACGACAGACUUCCAAAACCUCAGAAACUUGGUCACCCGGCAAUCCACAAUUUAUUGAUGGAUGCUCUAGCCCAUUUGAUGCCUAACCGUCUCAAAGAUACAUAGUCUUCAAAGGCAACAAGCAUCGGCUCCACACAGGAAAAUCUCUUCAUUGAUGCUCAAUCACUUUGGGUUUUUGGUUUUUGUUGUUUUCCUCACUGAUGAUUUUCUCUCAAAGUCAUAGGAUGAUGUGACGCUCCCAAAUGACAAGUGUCAAGUUCUCUCUCGGAGCAUCCAACCAUCUAGUGGUUGUAGGGGGCGCCUAUUUAUAGCGAGGGUGCAACCCGACAUGAUAUGACAUAAAUGCCCCCAAUGAUAUGACCAUUAUGUGGAUGAGGUUUUGGGGACAACUUGCGCACAACAAACAAUGGUCGAGAUUUCAAACUAUGAAAUACCUCAGUUCUAUCAUGUUCCUCACUUGUAGGCAGUUCGCACUAGCGAAAUCCUAACUCUCAGUGAGAGCUCAGAGACGAGAAGAACCUCGUCUCUGUCACUGAAAAAUUUGACUGAACCGCAAGAUAUUUCCAAAGGCUUCACCCGAAGAAUUGGUUAUGUGUAGCCUUUGAGAUAAGUUGUUGGGGAACGUUGCAUGGGAAACAAAAAUUUUCUUACGCACAUGAAGACCUAUGAUGGUGAUGAUCAUCUAACAGAGGGAGGUAGGAUCUACAUACCCUUGUAGAUCGCUAAGCGGGAAGCGUUAAGAACCGCGGUUGAUGUAGUGGAAUGUCUUCACGAUCCAAAUUGCCGCCGUCCCAUGAUCCGUCCCGAACUAGCACCGAACGAACGACACCUCCGCGUUCAACACACAUACAACUCGAUGACGAUCUCCCCCAUCUUGAUCCAGCAAGAGAGACGGGGAAGUAGAUGAGUUCUUUGACAGCGUGACGACGCGUCGGUGAUGGUGGUGAUCUAUUCCUGUAGGGCUUUGCCUAAGCACCGCAGAAAUCCGAUCUAGAGGAAGAACUACAAACUAGAGGAGAGGGUUGCAUGUGGCUGAAAAUUGUGUCUCAAAAACCCUAAAACCUCUAGUAUAUAUAGGAGGAAGGAGGGGCUAGCCUUGAGCACCAAGGGAACCUCCCUUGGGCUCGGCCGAACCAGGAGAAGAGGAGUCCUCCUCCAAUCCUACUUGGAGUAGGAAUCCUCCCCAAGUUGUCCACCUCUUUUCAUUUUCCCACUUUUUACCUCAUGGGCUUUCUUUGGUUGACUAGUCAGCCCACUAAGAGAAAUUGCGCCACCAUCAAAUCCACGUGGUCCUCUUGGGGAGUGGUGGGCCCACCUGGUGGGCCCACAAUACCCAUUCGUCACUCCCGGUACACUGUCGGCAAUGCCCGAAAUCGUUCCGGAAUCAAAUGCCAACUUCCUAUAUAUCAAUCUUCGUUUCCGGACCAUUCUGGAACUCCUCGUGACAUGUGGGAUCUCAUCCGGGACUCCGAACAAAACUUCGGUCACCAGAACCUAUAACUCAACUAUACCAAAACGUCACUCAACCUUAAGUGUGCACACCGUGCGGGUUCGAGAACUAAGCAGACAUGACGUGAGACACUCUCCGGUCAAUAUCCAAUAUCUGGACCUGGAUGUCAAUAUUGGAUCCUACAUAAUUUAUGAAGAUCUUAUCGGUUGANNNNNNNNNNNNNNNNNNNNNNNNNNNNNNNNNNNNNNNNNNNNNNNNNNNNNNNNNNNNNNNNNNNNNNNNNNNNNNNNNNNNNNNNNNNNNNNNNNNNNNNNNNNNNNNNNNNNNNNNNNNNNNNNNNNNNNNNNNNNNNNNNNNNNNNNNNNNNNNNNNNNNNNNNNNNNNNNNNNNNNNNNNNNNNNNNNNNNNNNNNNNNNNNNNNNNNNNNNNNNNNNNNNNNNNNNNNNNNNNNNNNNNNNNNNNNUAUCGGUUGAACCUCUAUGUCAAGGAUUCAUAUAAUCCCGUAUACCAUUCCCUUUGUCCUUCAGUAUGUUACUUGCCCGAGAUUCGAUCAUUCACAUCUCCAUACCUAUUUCAAUCUCGUUACUAGCAAGUCUCUUUACUCGUUCCGUAAUAAAAGAUCCCGUGACUAACUCUUUCGUCACAUUGCUUGCAAGGCUUGUAUGUGAUGUUGUAUUACUGAGUGGGCCCCGAGAUACCUCUCCGUCACACGGAGUGACAAAUCCCAGUCUUGAUCCAUGCUAACUCAAUGGACACCUUCGGAGAUGCCUGUAGAGCACCUUUAUAGUCACCUAGUAACGUUGUGACGUUUGAUGCACACAAGGCAUUCUUCCGGUGUUAGUGAGUUACAUGAUCUCAUGGUCAUAGGAAUGAAUACUUGACAUGCAGAAAACAAUAGCAACAAAAUGACACGGUCAUAUGCUACGUUCAUAGAUUGGGUCUUGUCCAUCACAUCAUUCUCCUAAUGAUGUGAUCCCGUCAUCAAGUGACAACACUUGUCUAUGGCUAGAAAACCUUAACCAUCCUUGAUCAAUAGGCUAGUCAAUUAGAGACUCACUAGGGACACAAUUUUGUUUAUAUAUCCACACAUGCAUUUAUGUUUCCAUUCAAUACAAUUAUAGCAUGGAUAAUAAACGAUUAUCUUGAAACAGGAAAUAUAAUAUUAACUAUUUUAUUAUUGCCUCUAGGGCAUAUUUCCAACAGUCUCCCACUUGCACUAGAGUCAAUAAUCUAGUCUCACAUCUUCAUGUGAUUUACAAUGUAAUGAAUCUAACACCCAUACAGUUUUGGUGUUGUUCAUGCUUUACUCGUGGUAGAGGUUUAGUCAGCGGAUGUGCAAAAUUCAGAUCAGUGUGCACUUUGCAAAUAUUUAUGUCUUCCUCCUUGAUGUAAUCGCAGAUGGUGUUGAAGCGUCGUUUUAUGUGUCUGGUCCUCUUGUGAAACCUUGGUUCCUUGGCUAGAGCAAUGGCACCAGUGUUGUCACAUAAAAGAUUGAUUGGAUCCAGUGCACUUGGCACUACUCCAAGAUCUGACAUGAACUGCUUCAUCCAGACACCCUCCUUGGCCGCCUCUGAGGUAGCUAUGUACUCCACUUCGCAUGUAGAAUCAGCUACGACACUUUGCUUGGAACUGCACCAGCUUACCGCACCCCCAUUAAGAAGAAAUACUACCGAUUUGCGACUUAGAGUCAUCCGGAACAGUGUCAAAGCUUGCAUCGACGUAACCCUUUAUGACGAGCUGUUCGUCACCCCCAUGAACGAGAACCAUUUCCUUAGACCUUUUCAGGCACUUGAGAAGAUUCUUGACCGCCGCCGAGUGUUCCACUCCUGGAUCACUUUGAAACCUGCCUGCCAUACUUAUGGCCAGGCUGACAUACGGUCUUGUGCAUAACAUUGCAUACAUGAUAGACCCUAUGGCUGAAGCAUAGGGGACGACACUCAUCUUUUGUCUAUCUUCUGCAGUUACUGGACAUUAAGUCUUACUCAACUUUAUACCUUGUAACACAGGCAAGAACCCCUUCUUGGAUUGUUCCAUCUUGAAAUUCUUCAAAACUUUAUAAAGGUAUGUGCUUUGUGAAAGAGCUAUUGGGCGCCUCGACCUAUCUCUAUAGAUCUUUAUGCCCAAUAUGUAAGCAGCUUCUCCUCAGUCUUUCAUUGAAAAACUUUUAUUCAAGUAAUCCUUUACGCUUUCCAAAAACUCCACAUUGUUUCCAAUCAACAAUAUGUCAUCCACAUAUAAUAUUAGAAACGCUAUAGAUCUCCCACUCACUUUCUUGUAAAUCAAAGCUUCUUCAAAAACUUGUAUAAAGUCAAACGCCUUGAUCACCUCAUCAAAGCGCUGAUUCCAACUCCGAGAUGUUUGCACCAGUCCAUAAAAUGGAUCGCUGGAGCUUGCACACCUUGUCAACAUUUUCUGGAUAGACAAAACCUUCGGACUAUAUCAUAUACAACUCUUCCUUAAGAAACCUAUUAAGGAACGCCAUUUGGACAUCCAUCUGCGAGAUUUCAUAAUCGAAAAAUGCAGCUAUUGCUAACAUGAUUCAGACGGACUUAAGCAUCGCUACGGGUGAGAAUGUCUCAUCGUAGUCAACUCCUUGAACUUGUGAAAAACCCUUCGCCACAAGUCGAGCUUUAUAAACGGUCACAUUACCGUCCGCGUUCGUCUUCUUCUUAAAGAUCCAUUUGUUCUGAAUAGCCUUGCGACCUUGAGGUAAUACUUCCAAAGUCCACACUUUGUUUUCAUACAUUGAUCCUAUCUCGGAUUUCAUGGCUUCUAACCAUUUGUUGGAAUUUGGGCCCACCAUUACUUCUCCAUAACUCUCAGCUCAUUGUUAUCUAACAACAUGAUAGACAAGACAUGUUUCCUGUACCACUCGGGAGCAGUACGUGCUCUUGUCGACCUGCGAGGUCCUGCCCUGCGCCACCAUCUUGUUAAAGCAGAGGUUCUGUAACCUCAUCAAGUUCUAUCUUCCUCCCACUCAAUUAUUUCAAGAGAAACACUUUAUCAAGAAAAGCUCCGUUCUUAGCGACAAACACUUUGCCCUCAGAUCUGAGAUAGAAGGUAUACCCAACUGUCUCUUUUGGGUAACCUAUGAAGACGCACUUUUCCGCUUUGGGUUCUAGCUUUUCAGGCUGAAGCUUUUUGACAUAAGCAUCGCAUCCCCAAACUUUAAGAAACGAGAACUUUGGCUUCUUGCCAUACCGUAGCUCAUAUGGUGUCGUCUCAACGGAUUUUGAUGGUGCCCUAUUUAAAAUGAAUGCAGCUCUCUCUAAUGCAUAGCCCCAAAACAAUAAUGACAAAUCGGUUAGAGACAUCAUAUAUCGUACCAUAUCUAACAAAGUACAAUUACGACGUUCGGACACACCAUUACGUUGUGGUGUUCCAGGCGGUGUCAAUUGUGAAACAAUUCCACAUUGUCUUAAGUGAGCACCAAACUCGUAACUUAGAUACUCUCCUCCUCGAUCAAAUCGUAGGAACUUGAUCUUCUUGCUAUGAUGAUUUUCAACUUCACUCUGAAAUUUCAUAAACUUUUCAAACGUUUCAGACUUGUGCUUCAUCAAGUAGAUAUAGCCAUACCUACUCAAAUCGUCAUUGAAGGUGAGAAAAUAACGAUAUCUAUCGCGCGCCUCUAUGCUCAUUGGUCCGCACACAUCAGUAUGUAUGAUCUCCAAUAAGUCACUUGCACGCUCCAUUGUUCCAGAGAACAGAGUCUUACUCAUCUUGCCCAUGAGGCAUGGUUCGCAUGUGUCAAGUGAUUCAAAAUCAAGUGACUCCAAAAGUCCAUCAUCAUGGAGUUUCUUCAUGCGCUUAACACCAAUAUGACCUAAGCGGCAGUGCCACAAGAAAGUGGCGUUAUCAUUGUUAACUCUACAUCUUUUGGUCUCAAUGUUAUGGAUAUAAGUGUCAUCACAAUCGAGAUCCAAUAUGAACAAACCCCUCACAUUGGGUGCAUGACCAUAAGAGAUAUUACUCAUAUAAAUAGAACAACCAUUAUUCUUAGACUUAAAUGAGUAACCGUCUCGCAAUAAACAAGAUCCAGAUAUAAUGUUCAUGCUUAAGGCAUGCACUAAAUAACAAUUAUUUAAGUUCAUAACUAAUCCCGAUGGUAACUGAAGUGAGACCGUGUCGAUGGCGAUCGCAUCAACCUUGGAACCAUUUCCCACGCGCAUCGUCACUUCAUCGUUCGCCAGCCUUCGCUUAUUCCGCAGUUCUUGUUUCGAGUUACAAAUGUAAGCAACAGAACCGGUAUCAAAUACCCAGACACUACUAAGAGAGUUGAUGAGGUACACAUCAAUAACAUGUAUAUCAUAUAUACCUUGUUUGGCGUUGACCGCCUUCUUAUCGACGAGAUACUUGGGGUAGUUGCACUUCUAGUGACCAGUCCCCUUGCAACAAUAGCACUCAGUUUCCGUCUUAGGCCCAGCCUUGGGUUUCUUCAUCGGAGGGGCAACAGUUUUUGCACUCUUCUUGGAGUUACCCUUCUUGCCUUUGCCGUUCUUCUUGAAACUAGUGGUGUUAUUCACCAUCAACACUUGAUGUUCUUUCUGGAUUUCUGACUCAGCAACUUUCAUCAUCGCAAAUAACUCGCUGGGUGACUUAUUCAUCCCUUGGAUGUUAUAGUUCAACAUGAAGCUCUUGUAGCUAGGUGGCAGUGAUUGAAGAAUUCUGUCAGUGAUAGCUUCUUGCGGGAGAGCGAUCCCCAGCUCAGCUAGAUGGUUUGAGUACCCAGACAUUUUGAGCACAUGUUCACUGACAGACAAAUUCUCCUCCAUUUUGCAAGCAUAGAAUUUAUUGGAGGUCUCAUACCUCUCGAUCCAGGCAUUCUUCUCAAAGAUAAAGUUCAACUCCUGGAACAUCUCAUAUGCUCCAUGACAUUCAAAACAUCGUUGAAGUCCCGGUUCUAAGCCAUACAAAACAACACAUUGAACUAGUGAGUAGUCAUCCUUACGAGCUUGCCAAACAUUCAAAACAUCUUGGUCAGCCAUAGCGUGUGGUUCACCUCCUAGCGCUGCAUCAAGGACAUAAUUCUUUUGCGUAGCUUGAAGUAUAAGCCUCAAAUUUCGAACCCCCUCUACAAAUUUGCUACCAUCAUCUUCCAGCUUAGCUUUCUCUAGGAACGUAUUGAAAUUCAGGGUUGCUACUACGCGAGCAAUUGAUCUACAACAUAAUUUUUUGCAAAGAUUACUUAUACUAUGUUCAAGACAAUUGAGUUUAGCUAAUCAUAUUAAUUAUAAAUUCCCACUCAAAUAGACAUCCCUCUAGUUAUUCGAGUGUCGCAUGAUCCAAAUUCACUAGCUCAAGUCCGAUCAUCACGUGAGUUGAGUAUAGUUUCAGUGGUGAACAUCUCCAUGUUGAUCAUAUCUACUAUAUGAUUCAUGCUCGACCUUUCGGUCUCUUGUGUUCCGAGGCCAUGUCUGUACGUGCUAGGCUCGUCAAGUUUAACCCGAGUGUUCCGCGUGCGCAACUGUUUUGCACCUGUUGUAUGUGAACGUUGAGUCUAUCACACCCGAUCAUCAUGUGGUGUCUCGAAACGACGAACUGUCGCAACGGUGCAUAGUCGGGGAGAACACAUUUUUAUCUUGAAAUUUUGUGAGGGAUCACCUUAUAAUGCUACUGUCGUCCUAAGCAAAAUAAGGUGCAUAAAAGGAUUAACAUCACAUGCAAUUCAUAAGUGUCAUGAUAUGGCCAUGAUCUUGUGCUUCUUGACCUGCAUCACCAAAGCACCGACAUGAUUAUCAUUGUCACCGGCACCAUAGAAUGAUCUCCAUCAUCAUGAUCUCCAUCGUUGUGCCGCCAUCGAGGUUGUCAUGCUAUCUAUGCUAUUACUACUAAAGCUACUACCUAGCAAUAUAGUAAACACAUCUGCAAGCACAAACGUUAGUUUAAAGACAACCCUAUGGCUCCUGCCGGUUGCCGUACCAUCGACGCGCAAGUCGAUAUUUAACUAUUACAACAUGAUCAUCUCAUACAUCCAAUAUAUCACAUCAUGUCUUUGGCCCUAUCACAUCACAUGCAUAUCCUGCAAAAACUAGUUAGAUGCCCUCUAAUUUGUUGUUGCAUGUUUUACGUGGCUGCUAUGGGUAUCUAGUAUGAUCGCAUCUUACUUACGCAAAGCCACAACGAUGAUAUCCAAAUUGCUAUUUAACCUUCUCCAAGGACCGCCUCGAUCAAAUCCGAUUCAACUAAAGUUGAAGAAACAGACACCCGCCGGUCAUCUUUAUGCAACAAGUUGCAUGUUAGUCGAUGAAACCGGUCUCUAGUAAGUGUACGAGUAAGGUUGGUCCAGGCCAUUUCAAUCCAACAAUACUACCGAAUCAAGAAAAGACUAUGGAGGGCAGCAAAUCGAACAUCAACGCCCACAAUUUUUUUUGUGUUCUACUCGAGAUUUCAUCUAUGAGUGAACCUAGCUCAUGAUGCCACUAUUGGGGAACGUUGCAUGGGAAACAAAAAUUUUCCUACGCACACGAAGACCUAUCAUGGUGACGAUCAUCUAUGAGAGGGCGAUCGGAUCUACGUACCCUUGUAGAUCGCUAAGCGGGAAGCGUUAAGAAACGUGGUUGAUGUAGUGGAACGUCUUUGCGAUCCAAAUCGCCUCCGUCCCAUGGUCCGUCCCGAUCUAGCACCGAACGGACGACACCUCCGCGUUCAGCACACGUACAGCUCGAUGACGAUCUCGGCCUUCUUGAUCCUGCAAGAGAGAUGGGGAAGUAGAUGAGUUCUCCCACAGUGUGACGACGCGCCGGUGAUGGUGGUGAUCUAUUCCUGCAGGGCUUCACCUAAGCACCGCAGAAAUCCGAUCUAGAGGAAGGACUACAAACUAGAGGAGAGGGUUGCACGUGGCUGAAAAUUGUGUCCCAAAAACCCUAAAACCUCUAGUAUAUAUAGGAGGAAGGAGGAUCUGACCUUGAGCACCAAGGGAACCUCCCUUGGGCUCAGCCGAACCAGGAGAGGAGGAGUCCUCCAAUCCUAUUUGGAGUAGGACUCCUCCCCAAGUUGUCCACUUCUUUUGUUUUUUCCACUUUUUACCUCAUGGGCUUUCUUUGGUUGACUAGUCAUCCCACUAAGAGCUAUUGCGCCACCAUAAAGUCCACGUGGCCCUCUUGGGCAAUGGUGGGCCAACCUAGUGGGCCCCCAGUACCCAUUCGUCACUCCCGGUACACUGCCGGCAAUGCCCGAAAUCCUUUCGGAAUCCAAAUACCAACUUCCUAUAUCAAUCUUCAUUUCCGGACCAUUCCGGAACUCCUCGUGAUGUCCGAGAUCACAUUCGGGACUUCGAACAAAACUUCAGUCACCACCACCUAUAACUCAACUAUACCGAAAUGUUACCGAACCUUAAGUGUGCACACUCUGCGGGUUCGAGAACUAUGCAGACAUGACUUGACACACUCUUUGGUCAAUAUCCAAUAGCGGGACUUGGAUGUCCAUAUUGGAUCCUACAUAUUCUACGAAGAUCUUAUCGGUUGAACCUCUAUGUCAAGGAUUCAUAUAAUCCCGUAUACCAAUUCCUUUGUCCUUCGGUAUGUUACUUGCCCGAGAUUCGAUCGUCCGCCUCUCCAUACCUAUUUCAAUCUCGUUACUGGCAAGUCUCUUUACUCGUUCCGUGAUGUUGUGUUACCGAGUGGGCCCCGAGAUACCUCUCCAUCACAUGGAGUGACAAUCCAAGUCUUGAUCCAUGCUAACUCAAUGGACACCUUCGGAGAUGCCUGUAGAGCACCUUUAUAGUCACCCAGUAACGUUUCAACAUUUGAUGCACACAAGGCAUUCUUGCGGUGUUCAGUGAGUUACAUGAUCUCAUGGUCAUAGGAAUGAAUACUUGACAUGCAGAAAACAAUAGCAACAAAAUGACAUGAUCAUAUGCUAUGUUCAUAGUUUGGGUCUUGUCCAUCACAUCAUUCUCCUAAUGACGUGAUCCCGUCAUCAGGUGACAACACUUGUCUAUGGCUAGGAAACCUUAACCAUCCUUGAUCAAUUGGCUAGUCAACUAGAGACUCACUAGGGACACAAUUUUGUCUAUAUAUCCACACAUGCAUUUAUGUUUCCAUUCAAUACAGUUAUAGCAUGGAUAAUAAAUGAUUAUCUUGAAAUAGGAAAUAUAAUAAUAAUUAUUUUAUUAUUGCCUCUAGGGCAUAUUUUCCAACAUAAGCAUCACUUGGAAAUUUGUCCUUAGUAUUACCUCAACCCUCUUUAAUAGUGCAAUAUUCCUAUUACUCAAAAUAAAGGAAACGUAACUAGUAAAACAAAAGUCUUCAUGCUUCAUAGUCUUUGCAUUAAUAUCUUCAAGGAUGCACCAAUUUCCUCACUUUUAGAGUCUUUAGGAAAAUAUUGAAGACUCCAGAUGAAGACAUUAAUUUUUAGGGGUCGACAUUCUUCAAAUAUAUCAAAUGCCUUAGUGACUUAUAGAGCUUGUGUACACUCAUACACAUAUUAGUCCCUUAACUUAUAAGUCUUCAAUACACCAAAAUCACUAAGGGGCACUAUAUGCACUUACAAUCUCCCCCCUUUUGGUGAUUGAUGACAAAUAAUUAAGUUUUCGACGGGGAUAAACAUAUGAAGUGUAAGUACCGACUUUGAGGAAUUUGAUUGCAAGAUAUAGAGAAACUCCCCCUAAAGAUGUGCAUAUUUGAGGAUUUUGCUUUGGACUGCAAUUGCACAUUGUAAGUUAAUAUCAUGAAGAUCUCCCCUAUAUCUUAUAAUCCAUACACACAAUUAACAUAUAUCAUGAGGAAAUUGAAAUGCAUGAUGGGAAGUGGUGUCUGACAAAAUUCGGCAUGCGUGCAUUAAUCAACAUGAGGAACAAGCAUGCAAUAAAAGCAGUUCAAAAGUGUCACACCACCACCGAACAUAAGUUUACAACUCAUAAAACCAAACACCUUAGAAAAAUGAGAGUUGCAACAUAAGGAAACAUCCCAUAUAGAUAGACCCACUUGAAGACUAACUCAAAUUUCUCCCCCUUUGUCAUCAAGUGACAAAAAAGGGAUGAAAUUGAGAACUAACACCCCUGAAAAAUAUCAUCUUGAUGGUGGUGGUGCAACACCAGUGUUGUCGGGGUCUUUUGUCGAUGAAGGGCCUGCAACAGUGUCAUCAAGUUCCUCAGAUUCAUCCUUGAGCAUGAUGAAGAAAAUGAGCUUGUUACCAGCUAAGGAACUUGAAAUUUCUUGAAUAUCUUCUUUGGUGGAUAUGACCAGUCAAAGUUCUGCUGAAAUUCUAUCUCUGCAAGUUCUUCGAGGAGUCUUGAGGUGAGACAGAAUGGCCCAUGUGCGAUCGAAUAUUUCAUGUAGAUAUUAGUGAUUAUUCCUCAGAGAGUUAUGCAUGAUAGUCAUGUCACAAAGAAUUGCACGAAACUAACGUUUCACCCACUUGUGGUUGUGAUCGACCUUGUGAUGAACACUUAGAAGAAGCUCACAAUUGGUCAUCACUCGUGGCACUUUCUUGAGUACGUUGCGGUGAGGUUUUUGCUACAAAAUCUUGAGAUGUCAUGUCAUCAUUGGUGGAGUAAGAAGCAUCUUGAGGAAAUUGCCCAUCAAAAGGGCGUGAUCCUUCAUCAAUGACAGCUUUGCCAUUUCCUUCCAUUGAGGAAAAUGUGUUCUUGAUGACUUCGAUUGGGGGCAGAAAGCUAAAAUGGUUUUGAAAAUCCGCUUGAUAAGGUAUUGAGGAUCUUUCCCCGAUGAAUUUCAUGAUCCAGGAAGCAUAUGGCUUCAGUUCAAACGACAAUAAAGCAAUGUUGGCUAGAGUCCUCGUUAAGAAAUCGUGAAGGUUGAUGGGAAUCCCAUGAAUAAUAUCGAACAACAAAUUCUUCAUGAUUCCAACCACGUCUUGGUCUUCAAAGUCAUGACCCUUGAUAAGACUAAGGGUUUUGGUCAAGAUGCGAUAUACCAUUCUGGGCAAUAAAGCAAAUCCUUCACUAGGAAGGUGGUUCUGGGAGCUUGGUGAGGUGCCAAGGGCUUCAUUAUUACCUGCAUCAGAUGAUUUGGCAAUUCAGGUUCAUCAUAGAUACAUCUUGCACCUUCUGAGGGUUGAUCGACUGGGAGAACAUGAAUCAAUUCAGUUCCUGGAGCAGUAUAGUGUGUGUCUUCAGUCAUCCAGUCAAGUAUCUAGGUGUUGAUAUUGUGUGCUUCACUAGAAAUGUGCAGAGUUGCAUAAAACUAAGGAAUUAGUUCUUCAUUCCAGUCACAAAUAUCAAUGCAGAAUGGCAAGAGUACAACUUCAUGAAGAACAUUGAGUACUGGGUAGAAGCACGGAAUGAACUCCAUAUCUGCAUGAGGAAUUUGACGGUGUUGGAAGAUUUUGUUCUUGUCAAAUAACAGAGUACCAUAGAAGUUAAUCUCGAUUGAAGUCGAGAACCUCUUGCACCUUAUCCUCGGAGAGUCAUAGGGAUUUUCACCUAUGAAGAAAUGAUGUUCAUCAUAGAAAUUCUCCUUGAGGAAUUUGGGUCACUUUGUGCCUUUGUAUGGCUGAACAGGAAUUGGCUGAAGAUUUGGCUUGUAUUGCCCUACAAGUGCUCUGGGCAUGAUAAAUGUUUCAGUUUGAGGAACUUGUGCCACAACGACUGCAGAUUGAGGAUUUUGAACGACAAGUUCUUGAUGAGCAGUCUGAGUGUUGAUUAUGUCAAUCUGUGGUUCUUCAACUUAUGGCAGAGGAAUUUGAGGAGCUGUUUCUUCAGCCAUGGUCUCUUGAGACUAAAGAAUUUGAAUUGCAAAUUCUUCAACCGCAAUGUGAGUGUGACUUUCUUUAGCAGUUUCUUUAGCUUGUGCAACUUGUAUUUCUUCAACCUGUGGCUAUCAAAGUUGUCAGAAACGUGACUCAAGUCUUAGAAUCUUACGAUCUUACGAUCCAAACUAGCCCCUCUGAUUCUACAAUUUUGCUCAUAGAAUCUAAGUUUCUACGAUCCUGAUAGUUAAGAUUCUACGAUUCACGAUCCUAGCAACGGAGCUCCGAUCCGAUUCAGAAUCGCUAUUCUGACAACUUUGGUGGCUAUGGUGACUGUGUUAUGAGCGGAAUCAUUUCAUGAGAUGAUGCAGCUAGAAUUUCUCCAACUGUUGUCUUGAGAGGAGUGGAUCGACCCUUAGACCCUAUAAGAGUUUGUUCAGUGUGGGUAGGUGACUCGGGAAUUUGACUCAGUUACGUGGGCAUUGGUGAAUUUGGGUGUGCAGCUUCCCAAUAUUCAUUGUUGAUCACUGGAGUAGUGCAACUAAUGUCCACAUGAUCUUCAAUUUCUUCAUCACCAACCUCUACUGUAGUGAAUUGAGGCUGGGGUGAUGAUACCUGAGGGGGUGAAGUGUUCACAUCCACCUCAAUUUCUUCAUCGAUCGGCUCUGAGGAAGCAAUAAAUUGAUUUUCUUCAUCUUCUGCAUCUGGGAUGACAUAGCCUUCACCAAAUAGUACCAUUUAGUAAGAGGGUAUAGAGGUGUUAGGCAUUGCAUCAAUUGGUUUACCCGAGGAAUUUGGCAAAAUCCUCAAUCGCUUGUCUUUUGAAGAUUCUAAAGUGGAUGAUGCUUUUCGCUUUCGUGCGGCUUCCUUUUUCGUAGCCUUGGUUUUCUUUACUUCUGAUGUAGAAGAAAUUAGCACUCUCUUCACCUUUAAAGAUUUUGCUGAUGGAGCAGAGGGUGAAGUUGAUUCGAGUUCUUCACGCAAGACUGAUGCAGUCAUCCUGACACGUCAAAUUUCUUCAGGCGCAUUAGUUUCUUCAGCUGGCCUCAUAGUUUCUUUAUGUGCAAGAGUGGAGUUUGCCGUGACAGUUUCUUCAGGAGGUGUGAUAUCUUCAGCAGUCCUGAUAAUUUCUUCACCCACUGGUAUUUCUUCAGUGGGCUGAGUAGUAGAACUAGCCUGAGCAGUUUGUGGUUGUGAUGGAAGUGCAGGCCUUGUGUUGUGGUCACUGAUGGCUCUCGUAGCCACAUUGUCAAACCUGACCUUAGAGCCUUUCCAAUCAGCAUAAUAUCUAUUGUAUUCUUCACCGAGAUUUUAAUCUUAGUUUAUGCAGAAAUGAGUUGGCCUGGAGUCAGGGAGAGAACAUUGGUCUUCAUAAAUUGUUCUUUCUUCCUCUGCUCCCUUCUGGCCAUUUUGUCCUUUUCAAACUUCCAUUUUUCUACGACAAUGAAAGCCGUCAACACUUGGCUUGGACCAGGUAGUAGUUUUAGAUCGUCAAUUGGGGUUUGAGGAUCUUUGUACCAGACAUCAAUGAAAUCCAACAUAGUUCUUCAGUCAAGCAUGAGAGGUAUUUGAGCGCCCUUUGCUUGGGCCAUGCUCCGUUGCUUGCUUCUGAUGGUUUCAGCAGGUUCUUCAUCAUUAGCUUCAUGAUCCUUAGAUGCUGAGGGAACAUUGAAGACAACCUUGUGAGGACUUGGUAUUUUGCGUCGUCUAGUUGUCAUCUUCUUCUUCAUGACUGUGGCACUAAAAGAAGUGAGAGCGGAGCCUAUUGCAGAUGUCCGAGAGGAAUUGUGAAUCCAAUGGUUCGCUGACACAUUGCAAGAUGCACUGGUGUUGAGGUCUUUGUGGUAGCAACUGAGGAAGUGGCCGCCACAGAAGGAGCUGGGUGAGGAAUUUUCUAUGAGGGAUUUGAACUUUAGGACUUUGUCUUGACACCAAAUUUCUUCACUAUAGCUUGUUUUGGAGCUGUUGCGCUGAUAGAUGCUUUAGCAGUAGAUGAGGUAGCGACAGUGGCAGCAACUGUAUCAAGGUUGAAUUUCCUCACUGCCUUUGCAGAAAUCUUGUACAGUUUGGCUUGGCACUUGUCCCACUCCUUGGGAUAUUCUUCACCACUUACAAUGCUAGUGGGAUCAACUACUUGGCCUUCAGCGAGUGGAGUUCUUGGGCAUGGAGGAUUCACUGCAAAUUUUUUCAUGUACUUUGGAGUAACAUAUUUGUAGUCCCUCAUCAGGAGUGUAGUAUUCAUCAUAUAUAUCCUCAAGGAUUCCGAAGGCAGUAUUGGUUUCUGCCUUCUUUCCUCCUUUCUGAGGUCUUUUCCCUUCAACCAUUUUCUUCACUUGUGGAAUAUGAAAUUUUGAUGAUUCUGAGGAAGUGUGCAAAUUUUCUUCAAGGAACACUUCAAAUGAAUUAAGUUGAUAAGAACCUAGAGAUUAAUGUGCAACCAUUUUGUACGUGUGAAUAGAGUGUAGGUGCGAAUAAUUUGAAGAGGUCAUUUGCUUUCUCAGAAAUUUUUCAAAAGUAUAUCAAGUUGAGGAAUUUGACCAGAUAGGUCUUGAAGAAUUCCGUUAAGUGUUCUUGACUUAGGUUCCAGAGUUUGCAGAUUCAAAAAUUUACUCAAUUGAGAAAUCUUUUGAAGAAAAUCAUGACUAAGAGAAACAAAACAAGGGAAAUUAAGUUGUUUAAGGUGUUUACACGAUUGAAUAAACACCUUUUGAAGAAUUUGUCAAAUCAUAAAGAUCAAAUAGUGCAGUAAAAUUAGAUUUUAAUUACCCUUAUCGAAGAACAUGAAGGACACGGAGUGAAAGUGAAGGAGUUCACCAGUUAAGAUCUCCUGCGCCCUAUAUCGGCGACAGAAGACAGCUACGGCAUCGGUCGAGUGAAGAUUUCUGUCGCCAGCGCAAGUAUGACGAGGAGGAGGUUGAGUCAGCUAAGCUCUUCCUCUCCGGCAAGAAUGAAGAGUAGCGGUGACGCUAUGUCUAAGCUCGAAUAUGAUGAGAGGUGAGAUCGAGCGAAGUAACUGAGAUAGUGAAGCGGGUGAAGGGGUAUUUAUAGUGGAGGUAAAAAUUGUUUGGCCUGAAGAUUUUGGACCUCUUUACCCGUGACCCUUCCUAUCCAAGCGACACAUGUUACCCACAUACUGAGAGGUGGCAAUCUUGGGGGAUCGUGGGUUAUCCAGUCAUGGAAAGUGGGAUUUGUUUCGAGUGAUAACCGCUAAAAAUUUGAUAAGAUAUUUUAAAGCUUUGUUCGCGGAUUCUUCAGCUGACAAUGAUCUAGUAAAGACUUUGAACGAGUUUCAAGUAGGACGCAUAUCAAGAAUUUGUGAAUAGACUGGGUUGAGCUUAGCAAAGAGGGGGAACGGGUCCGAUCACUUUCACUUAGAAGAAAAUCUAUUUGAAGAAUUAGUAGUAAGUGAAAGCUAUUGAGGACUUUGAAAGCUCUUAUAUAUGUAUAUAUAUAUAUAUAUAUUCAAUGAAGAACACCCAUUGAAAAGUUUGAAGGAUUUGACAUUUUGAGGAAUUUGCAAACUUGAGGAAUUAGAAAAAUUUCAAAAUUUGCAAAAAUCUCAAUUUUGAAGAAUUUUAACUUUGGUUGGUGGCGUGACCCACUGUAUAAGAAUGAUGAUUUCGGACACCAUGUACAAUUGACAUAGGGUUGCGAGAAUAAAAUUCUUCAUUAAUUUCCUCACACUUAGAGGGUUUGUCUUCAUUGAUUGAAGAAAAACAUUAUUUCAUGUGUUGCACAUCUAAUCGUCAAUUCUGUAUAAGUUUUAGGAUGUGUGUCCUUUCGCAGAACAUUCAAAGAUUCUAGGAUAUUUAGCUCAUAUCGCAACUUGCAAAUCUCUUUUCAUCAAAGGGCUUAGUGAAUAUAUCUGCCAGUUGUUCUUCAGUCUUCACGUGGUCGAUGAAGAUGUCGCCCUUGAGUACAUGAUCACGAAGAAAAUGAUGACGAAUCUGGAUGUGCUUGGUCUUUGAGUGUUGAACUGGGUUGUGAGUAAUAUUGAUUGUACUGUCAUUGUCACAGUAGAGAGGCACAUUCUUCACUUUGAUGCCAUAGUCCUUGAGAGUUUGCUUUAUCCAUAGCAGUUGAGCACGACAUGAACCAACAUCGAUAUACACAACUUCAGUAGUAGAGAGUGCACACAGUUCUGUUUCUUUGAGGAUCAUCAGACUAAAGAUCAUCUGAGGAAGUGGUAUGUGCCUGAUGUUGACUUGUGAUCCACUUGAUAACCAAUAGAGUCAGGGUCAGAGUAUUGAUACGUCUCCAACGUAUCUAUAAUUUUCGAUGAUUUCAUGCUAUUAUCUUGUCAAACUGUGGAUGUUUUGUAUGCCUUUUAUAUCUUUUUUGGGACUAACUUAUUAACUCAGUGCCAAGUGCCAGUUCCUGUUUUUUCCGUGUUUUUGACCCUUUUCAGAGGAGAAUUUUGAACGGAGUCCAAACGGAAUAAAACUUCCAAAAAGAAUUUUUCUAAAAUAGAAGACGAUCGGGAGACUUCAGAACCAAGGCAGUGGGUCACGACGGACCCCACAAGCCCUCAUGGCGCGGCCAGGGGGCCCCGCGCCUCCCAGGCUUGUGGGCUCCCUAGGCCUCCCCUGCUCUAGGUCUUUCGCCUAUAUAUUCCCUAAAAUCCCAGAAAAAUCAGGGGAUCCACGAAAAUACUUUUCCGCCGCCGCAAGCUUAUGUCUCCGCAAGAUCCCAUCCGGGGCACGUUCCGGUGCCCUGCCGGAGGGGGAUUCGGAUACGGAGGGCUUCUUCAUCAACACCAUGACCUCUCCGAUGAUGCGUGAGUAGUUCACCAUAGACCUACGGGUCCAUAGCUAGUAGCUAGAUGGCUUCUUCUCUCUCUUGGAUCUUCAAUACAAAGUUCUCCAUGAUCUUCAUGGAGAUCUAUCCGAUGUAAUCUUCUUUGUGAUGUGUUUGUCGAGAUCCGAUGAAUUGUGGAUUUAUGAUCAGAUUAUCUAUGAAUCUUAUUUGACUUUCUUCUGAUCUCUUAUAUGCAUGAUUUCAUAUCCUUGUAAUUCUCUUCGAGUUGUGGGUUUUGUUUGGCCAACUUGAUCUAUGAUUCUUGCAAUGGGAGAAGUGCUUGGUUUUGGGUUCAUACCGUGCGGUGACCUCACCCAAUGAUAGAAGGGGUAGCGAGGCACACAUCAUGUUGUUGCCAUCAAGGGUAAAAAGAUGGGGUUUUCAUCAUUGGUUUGAGUUUGUGGGGACCCCGACUAGCAAGUCGAGUUCGCCGUGCCCAGUGACCCCAAGGAUCAAUGUUCACUGAACACAGAUACUCAAUAAUAGAGUUUUACAUCCAAGUACCGAAUUUAUUACAUUGAACGACCCAAAGGUCGGGUUCAAGAGCAAGGCCUAAAGCCAAAUUAAAUGGAUACAUCGAGUAGCGGAAACUCGUAAGGGCUAAGCGGUGCCCAUGCCAUCAAGCCUACACCGACAGGCAUUCUGACUUGGAAGCGUCCUANNNNNNNNNNNNNNNNNNNNNNNNNNNNNNNNNNNNNNNNNNNNNNNNNNNNNNNNNNNNNNNNNNNNNNNNNNNNNNNNNNNNNNNNNNNNNNNNNNNNGAAGGGAGGGGGAAAUAGCGCGGGCUGAAAUGUCCCUCCCGCCAACUGCUUCUCUGUUAUGCAGGGCACCACAGCCGCUAGGGGUAAACCCGCGUUUUCCCAGGUUGGGGUCGGGAAUUUUCCGCGCCCCCUAAAAACUUUUGCGGGCCGGGGCGGGAUGCGGGGUCUGAUCGGGCAGGCUUUUCCGCCCUGACCCGCAUUUUGGCAGUUAUUUUGCGGGUCGGGGCGGAUGUGGGUUCUGCUAGAGUUGCUCUUAGACUCAACAAGUCCCUCUAUGGCCUCAAGGAGGCCCCGAGGGCAUGGUAUAACACUCUGAAGGAGUUCCUCAUGAAGAAAGGCUUCAAACCUGGUUCACUCAACCCAACUCUUUUCACAAAAUCCUAUGACAAUGAAUUGUUCGUGUGUCAAAUUUAUGGAGACGAUAUUAUCUUUAGUUGUACUGACAAAUGUUACAAUGACGAAUUAUUCUACAUGAUGAGUGAAUAAUAUCAAAUAUCCAUGACGGGGGAGUUGAAAUUCUUCUUCUUAGGCAAAGAAGAAAACCAAGUUUUUGCUCGAUCUCGCAACGAGAAAGGAAAAAGCUUCAAUUUAAUCACAUCACUAUCCACAUCUUUCUUAUUUUGCAUAUCGCAAAGCUCAAUGAAGGUAUUAAGAUGGGAUGCGGCAUCUUCACUCGGAAGGCCAGAGAAUUGCUUUUUCUUAACAAGAUUCAACAAAGCAGCAUUGAUUUCGUAUGAUUCCGCACUAGUGGCGGGAGCAAUCAGAGUACUAAUAAAAUCAUUAUUAUUAGUAUUCGCGAAGUCACAAAGUUUGGUGUUUUCAGUCAUGGUGACUUCAGCAAGAAAGCAAGCAAGCACACAAGCGAACAGAAAGCAAGCGAGAGAAAAGGGCGAACGAAAAAGGGAAACGAAAAAGACAAAUAUUAUUGUAAAUUUUUGUUUUUCAGAAGUGGGGUAGAGGAAAACGAGAGGCAAAAAAGUAAAUGCAGGAGAUGAGUUUGAAACACUUACUUGGAUGAGUUCUCGACUUGGUCCUCCCCGGCAACGGCGCCAGAAAUCCUUCUACUACUUCUCAAACAACAGCGCCAGAAAUUGACACGUUGACGGAGACUUGCUUCCGUUGGUUUUUCCCUUGAAGAGGAAACGGUGAUGCAGCACACGAGAAGUAAGUAUUUCCCUCAGUUUGAGAACCAAGGUAUCGAUCCAGUAGGAGAAUCUCAUCAAGUCCAGAGUACUUGCGCAAACACAAAAGAGCUUGCACCCAACCCUAUAAAGGGGUUGUCAAUCCCUUCAAGAUUGAUUGCAAAGUGAGCUCUGAAGGCGGAAAGUGCAACAAAGUAAAAGUGUAAGGCUGAAAAUAUGGUGUGAAGUAGACUCGGGGGCCAUAGUGUUCACUAGAGGCUACUCUCAAAAUAGCAAAUAUUAUGGUGGGUGAACAAAUUACUAUCGAGCAAUUGAUAGAACCGCGCAAAUUCAUGACGAUAUCUAAGCCAAUGAUCAUACAUAUAGGCAUCAUGUCCGAGACAAGUAGACCUAUACUUUCUGCAUCUACUACUAUUACUCCACACAUCGACCGCUAUCCAGCAUGCAUCUAGUGUAUUGAGUUCAUGACGAACAGAGUAACGCCUUAAGCAAGAUGACAUGAUGUAGAGGGUAAACUCAAACCAAUGAUGAAAACCCCAUCUUUUUACCCUUGAUGGCAACAACAUGAUGUGUGCCUCGCUACCCCUUCUAUCAUUGGGUGAGGUCACCGCACGGUAUGAACCCAAAACCAAGCACUUCUCCCAUUGCAAGAAUCAUAGAUCAAGUUGGCCAAACAAAACCCACAACUCGAAGAGAAUUACAAGGAUAUGAAAUCAUGCAUAUAAGAGAUCAGAAGAAAGUCAAAUAAGAUUCAUAGAUAAUCUGAUCAUAAAUCCACAAUUCAUCGGAUCUCGACAAACACAUCACAAAGAAGAUUACAUCGGAUAGAUCUCCAUGAAGAUCAUGGAGAACUUUGUAUUGAAGAUCCAAGNNNNNNNNNNCGAUGUGUGCCUCGCUACCCCUUCUGUCACUGGAUGAGGUCACCGCACGGUAUGAACCCAAAACCAAGCACUUCUCCCAUUACAAGAAUCAUAGGUCAAGUUGGCCAAACAAAACCCACAACUCGAAGAUAAUUACAAGGAUAUGAAAUCAUGCAUAUAAGAGAUCAAAAGAAAGUCAAAUAAGAUUCAUAGAUAAUCUGAUCAUAAAUCCACAAUUCAUUGGAUCUUGACAAACACACCGCAAAGAAGAUUACAUUAGAUAGAUCUCCAUGAAGAUCAUGGAGAACUUUGUAUUGAAGAUCCCAAAGAGAGAAGAAGCCAUCUAGCUACUAGCUAUGGACCCGUAGGUCUAUGGUGAACUACUCACGCAUCAUCGGAGAGGACAUGGUGUUGAUGAAGAAGCCCUCCGUAUCCGAACCCCCCCCCCUCCGGCAGGGCACCAGAACGUGCCCCAGAUGGGAUCUUGCGGAGACAGAAGCUUGCGGCGGCGGAAAAGUAUUUUCGUGGAUCUCCUGAUUUUUUCUGGGAUUUUGGGGAAUAUAUAGGCAAAAGACCUAGGGUAGGGGAGGCCCAGGAAGCCCACAAGCAUGGGAGGUGCGGGCCCCCUGGCCUCGCCAUGAGGGUUUGUGGGGUCCCUGGUGACCCUCUGCCUUGGUUCUCAAGUCUCCCGAUCGUCUUCUGUUUCGGAAAAAAUCUUUUCGGAAGUUUUAUUCCAUUUGGACUCCGUUCAAAAUUCUCCUCUGAAAAGGGUCAAAAACACGGANNNNNNNNNNUCAUGGUGUUGAUGAAGAAGCCCUCCGUAUCCGAAUCCCCCUCCGGCAGGGCACCGGAACGUGCCCCGGAUGGGAUCUUGCGGAGACAUAAGCUUGCGGCGGCGGAAAAGUAUUUUCGUGGAUCCCCUGAUUUUUCUGGGAUUUUAGGGAAUAUAUAGGCGAAAGACCUAGAGCAGGGGAGGCCUAGGGAGCCCACAAGCCUGGGAGGCGCGGGGCCCCCUGGCCGCGCCAUGAGGGCUUGUGGGGUCCGUCGUGACCCACUGCCUUGGUUCUGAAGUCUCCCGAUCGUCUUCUAUUUUAGAAAAAUUCUUUUUGGAAGUUUUAUUCCGUUUGGACUCCGUUCAAAAUUCUCCUCUGAAAAGGGUCAAAAACACGGAAAAAACAGGAACUGGCACUUGGCAGUGAGUUAAUAAGUUAGUCCCAAAAAAGAUAUAAAAGGCAUACAAAACAUCCAAAGUUUGACAAGAUAAUAGCAUGAAACCAUCAAAAAUUAUAGAUACGUUGGAGACGUAUCAAGCAUCCCCAAGCUUAACUCCUGCUCGCCUCGAGCAGGGAAGUGAUAAAGACUGAAUUUUUCACAUGGAAUGCUACCUAGCAUAGUUGUCCUUUGUAACUUCUUUCAUGUGACAUGAAUGUUCAGAUCCAUAGGAUUCGAAACAAUAGUUUGCUAUUGACAUGAAAACAAUAAUACUUCGAGCAAACUAGCAAGGUAAUCAUGAACUUUCGAAAUAACAAGGCCAAAGAAAGUUAUCCCUACAAAAUCAUAUAGUCUGGCUAUGAUCCAUCAUCCCCACACAACUAAUUUAAAUCAUGCACAACCCCGGUAUUGGCCAAUUAAUUGUUUUCGCACUCUUACUUUCUCAAACCUUUUUCAACUAUCACGCAAUACAUGAGCGUGAGCCAUGGAUAUAGCACUAUGGUGGAAUAGAGUGUGGUGGUGGUUGUGAGACAAAAAAGGAGAAGAUGGUCACAUUGACUCGGCGUAUCAAAGGGCUAUGGAGAUGCCCAUUAAUAGAUAUCAAUGUAAAUGAGUAGCGAUUGCCAUACAAAGGAUGCACUAGAGCUAUAAGUAUGUGAAAGCUCAAAAGGAGAACUAGUGGGUGUGCAUCCAACUUGCUUGCUCACAAAGACCUAGGGCAAUUUUGAGGAAGCCCAUCAUUGGAAUAUACAAGCCAAGUUAUAUAAUAAAUAUUCCCACUAGCAUAUGGUGGUGACGAAACGAGAGGCUCUCAAUCAUGAAGAACAUGGUGCUAUUAUGAAGCACAAGUGUGGGAAAAGAUAGUAGCAUUGUCCCUUCUAUCUUUUUCUCUUUUUUUUAUUUUUAUUUUGUUUGGGCUCUUUCCCCUCUUUCCAUAUCUCUCUUUUUUUAUUAUGGGCAACUUUGGCCUCUUUUUUUUUAUUUCCUCACAUGGGACAGUGCUCUAAUAAUGAUGAUCAUCAAACUUUUAUUUACUCAUAGCUCAAAGCUUAGGACGAUGAUGACUCUAUAGGAAAUGCCUCCGGGAGUGUACCGGGAUGUGCAACGAUCUAGCUUGGUGUAUGACGUUGAAACAUGUUGCUAGCUAUCUUACGAUCAUGCAAUGGCAAUAUGAGAGUGACGGCACAAGUCAUGAGACGGAACGGUGGGAUUUGCAUGGCAAUAUAUCUCGGAAUGGCAAUGAAAAUGCCAUAGUAGGUAGGUAUGGUGGCUGUUUCGAGGAAGGCAUAUGGUGGGUUUGUGCACCGGCGAAAAUUGCGCGGUACUAGAGAGGCUAGCAAUGGUGGAAGGUGAAAGUGCAUCUAUACCAUGGACUCACAUUAGUCAUGAAGAACUCACAUACUUGUUGCGAAAGUUUUUAUUAGUAAUCGAAACAAAGUGCUAAACGCAUACUCCUAGGGGAAGGGUUGGUAAGUCUAUAACCAUCGCGCGAUCCCGACCGCAACACAAAGGAUGACAAUCAAUAGAUCAAUUAUGCUCCGACUUCCUAACAUAGUGGUUUACCAUACGUGCAUGUUACGGGAAUCACUAACUUCAACACAAGUAUUUCUAGAUUCACAACACCCUACUAACAUAACUCUUAAUAUUACCAAAUCCACGUCUCCAAACUAAUUGAGAGGAAUCAAAACUUCUCUUUCUACUUAAUGCACAUGAAGCUGGAAGUUUUUGUCUCCUCUUUGGGUACCUACCACCUUUGGGACUACUUUCAUAGCACAAGCCAACUACCAAGUUACGCACCACCGUACUCUAAAAGAUCUAAGUGAAGCACAUAGAGCAAAAUUAUCUAGCUCAAAAGAUAUAAGUGAAGCACGAUGAGCAUUCUAGCAAAAUCACGAUGAGUGUGUGUCUCUCUCAAAAGGUGUGCAGCAAGGAUGAUUCUGACACAACAAAAAGAAAAGACUCCUACGAUACAAGACGCUCCAAGCAAAACACAUAUCUUGUGGUGAAUAAAAAUAUAGCUCCAAGUGAUGUUACCGAUGGAUUGAAGACGAAAGAGGGGAUGCCUUCCCGGGGCAUCCCCAAGCUUAGGCUUUUUGGUGUCCUUGAAUUUGGCUUGGGAUGCCUUGGGCAUCCCCAAGCUUGAGCUCUUUCCACUCUUUAUCCCUUUGUCCAUGAGAUCAUCACCCAAAACUUGAAAACUUCACAACACAAAACUUAAACAGAAACUCGUGAUAUCAUUAACACAAGAAAACAAACUACCACUUCUUUAGGUAAUGUAGGAAUCUUGAUUUAUAUUUAUAUUGGUGUUAGAUUACUGUAUUCUCACUUUUCCAUAGCUAGUACCCCCCGAUACUAUCCAUAGUUUCAUCAAAACAAGCAACCAACUCAACAAAAAUAGAAUAUGUCAAAAACACACCAGUCUGUAGCAAUCUGUAUACUUCGUAUACUUCUGGUACCUCAAAAAUUCUGAAAAAUUACUACUGCCUAGGAAAAAGGCAUAUCCACCAGCAGAAAAAAGAAUCAACUCAAAAUCUCUUUAUGAAUAAAAAUUAAAAAUAAUCUCGUGAGCGAAAAGUUUCUGUCUUUUUCCAGCAGGAUCAAACAACCAUCACCAAUACUAGUCAUAAAGGUUUUGCUUGGGUCAAACACAAAAAGAAACACAAAAGACACAAUCAUAACAUGAUUAUGAUGGUGUGGACGUAACAAAACAAAAGGAAAAAGAUAAAUUCAUUGGGUUACCUCCCUACAAGCGCUAUUGCUUAACGCCCUUAGCUAGGCAUAAAGCGAUAGAAUCGUGCAUCGUCGUCUUUGGUGCUCAAACCAUAAGUAGCCCUCAUCAUGGAUUCAUAAGGCAAUCAUAUUUUCUUUCUACGAAAAUGCUCCAUGCCCUUCUUUAAAGGAAAUUGAAAUCUAAUAUUCCCUUCCUUCAUGUCGAUGAUAGCACCAAUAGUCCUUAGGAAAGGUCUACCAAGAAUGAUAGGGCAUGUAGGAUUGCAAUCAAUGUCAAGCACAAUGAAAUCCACGGGUACAUAGUUCCUAUUUGCAAUAAUAAGAACAUCAUUGAUCCUUCCCAUGGGUUUCUUGACAGUAGAAUCCGCAAGAUGCAAAUUAAGAGAACACUCCUCAAUCUCAUGAAAACCCAGAACAUCACAUAAAGACUUUGGAAUCGCGGAAACUCUAGCACCCAAAUCACACAAAGCAUUGCAUUCAUAGUUUUUUAUUUUGAUUUUGGUAGUAGGUUCCCACUCAUCAUGAAGCUUUCUAGGGAUAGAAACUUCCAAUUCAAGUUUCUCUUCAAGAGAUUUUAUCAUAGCUUCGACGAUAUGAACGGUAAAGGCCUUGUUUUGCUUAUAAGCGUGUGUAGAGUUUAGCAUGGAUUGCAUCAAGGAAAUGCAUUAAAUCAAGGAUCAACUAUCAUAAUUGAAUUCCUUGAAAUCCAAAGUAGUAAUUUCAUUACUACUCAAAGUUUUAAUAUCUUCUACUCCACUUUCAAUGCUUUUAGCAUCAAGAUAGAUGGACUCCGAAUCAUUGGGGCGUUUUUCAACCAAAGUGGAUUCAUAUCCAGCCCCCUCAUCAUAAGGUUUGACACAAGAAAACAAAGAUUCAAUGGGAGUCACACCAAGCACUUUAAUAUCUUCGUGAUUCUUAUCACGAGAACACGCCUUUUUAAGCCAUUCAUGUCUAGCACGAAUUUGGGAGCUUCUUUCUUUGCUCUCACUCAUGGAAACACGCAUAGCUUUCAAAGUUUCGUCCAUAUUGAUCUUGGGAGGAGCACAUCUAACUUUGAAAGCAUCAAUAUCACUAGACAUUCUAUCAACGCUCCUAGCCAAAUCAUCAAUUUUGAGUAGUUUUUCCUCUAUGGACGCAUUGAAAAUCUUUUGUGAGUUGAUAAACUCUUUGAUAUUACUCUCUAAAUCAGAGGAUAAUCUAUUUUAAUUUCCAUGAGUAUUGUUGUAGGAGUUCCCAAAGUUAUUAGAGGAGUUACUAGGAAAAGGCCUAGGAACAUAGUUUCAUCUAAAAGCAUUUUUGUUGCCAAAAUUAUUCCUACCAACAAAAUUAACGUCCAAGCUAGCGUUGCUACUCUCAAUCAAGGAAGACAAGGGCAUAUCAUUCGGAUCUAAAGGAGCACUACUACUAGGAACCAAAUUCAUUAACUCAUCCAUCUUAGCACUCAACGAGUUAAUUUCUUCUAUAGCGUGUACCUUUUUACUAGUAGUUGACCUUUUAGUGUGCCACUGAGAGUAGUUCGUCAUGUAUUGUCUAGGAGUUUUGUGCCUUCUCCUAACGUGAUUUCCAUGAACGUUCCACCUAAGGCGGAGUCCAAGAUAUUUCUAGAAGCGAAAUUCAAGCCACCAUAAAAGAUCUGUAUAAUCAUCCAAAGACUCAAGCCAUGAGUGGGACAAUUUCUAAUCAUCAAUUUCAUUCUCUCCCAAGAUUGUGCAACAUGUUCAUGAUCAAGUUGCUUAAAAUUCAUGAUAUCAUUAUGGAGAGAGAUAAUCUUAGCCGGUGGAAAAUACUUGGAUAUGUAAGCAUCUUUGCACUUAUUCCAAGAAUCAAUAUUAUUUUUGGGCAAAGACGAAAACCAAGUUUUUGCUCGAUCUCGCAACGAGAAAGGAAAAAAGCUUCAAUUUAAUCACAUCAUUAUCCACAUCUUUCUUCUUUUCCAUAUCGCAAAGCUCAAUGAAGGUAUUAAGAUGGGAUGCGGCAUCUUCACUAGGAAGGUUGGAGAAUUGCUCUUUCAUAACAAGAUUCAGCAAAGCAGCAUUGAUUUCGUAUGAUUCCGCACUAGUGGAGGGAGCAAUCAGAGUACUAAUAAAAUCAUUAUUAUUAGUAUUCGAGAAGUCACAAAGUUUGGUGUUUUCAGUCAUGGUGACUUCAGCAGGCAAGCAAGCAAGCACACAAGUGAACAAAAAGCAAGCGAGAGAAAAGGGCGAACAAAAAAGGCAAACGAAAAAGGCAAAUAUGUUAAAUAAUGAUAUUCCCACAAGGAAAAUUGCUUUCCUGCCUUAGAAAAUUCUGAGUAAAUUCAUGGAAGCUCAGAAGGACAUAUAUUUUCCAUAUAUAAGAUUUCCAGCCCUACUUUAUAUUAAUAUUAUUUGAGUAAAACCCUGAAAACCAUUUCUGUCUGUUUUAGCUUUUUGAGAUGUUUCUAAAGGAAAUUAUCUCAAUAAAAUCCCAUAAAAUUACAGGAGCCCUCCCAAACCAUAUUAGGUGCUCACCUAAAAUCUCACCUUGAUCCCAGGUGGGGAAGUACACCUAAAGAUCCCAAAAGCCUCUUUGUCCAGAGUAGAGUUGGAACAACUCUACAUUGCAAAGUUUCUCCAAUGGAGCUGAAACUUUGCAGAGGUGUUUAACACCCCANNNNNNNNNNNNNNNNNNNNNNNNNNNNNNNNNNNNNNNNNNNNNNNNNNNNNNNNNNNNNNNNNNNNNNNNNNNNNNNNNNNNNNNNNNNNNNNNNNNNUGACGGCGUACUCAUCACCAAACUCCGGUCCUUCCAUGUCUGGUCAAUAACAUAACCAGUGGCAAGCCAAUGAGUACUUUGAAUGUACUCGCAAACAGCCCAUGAUAUGAAUAUAUAUGGUAAGGAAUAACAGUAACAGUUAUCUUUAGUGGAAUGCAAUGUGGUGGCAUGAUCAGGUAUGAGCAACAAGUUAAGAAUUACUUUUGAAGAAUAGGUUACAGAUAUUGACAUAUCUGUCAAGAGUUGAACACAUCGGGUUCACCCUGUAUGCCAAGUCAUCGGACUUGUCAUAUCCUCAAGGNNNNNNNNNNGUUUUGAAGAACAGGUUACAGAUAUUGACAUAUCUGUCAAGGGUUGAACACACCGGGUUCACCCUGUAUGCCAAGUCAUCGGACUUGUCAUAUCCUCAAGGUAUUAAUGAGGGCUAAACCAUCCGGGUUUACCCUAUAUGUCAAGUCACCGAACUUGAUCAUAUUGUCGUGGUUAUCAUAACAACACCUUUUUAACACCACGCACACACACUUGGUUUAUGCGGAAACUCAGGACGUAGUUUAAGCAGCACCAACCAACUGUCCUUGACCGUGGACACGGCUAUUCGAAUAGUUUACACUCUGCAGAGAUAGUACGCUGGACCCACGAGAAACGGGAAACUUCCGUGUCAUCCACGACUCACGGUAUAUCACAUAUACCCGAGGUAAGUACCCGAUCAUCAUCUUUCCCCUGACGAUACUAGACAAAGAGGUCCACUCGAUUGGUACCCAGCCCACAUGUUGUACGUCUUACGAGCACCGACUCUGGACUGUAUCGACCAUGCAGGGACCAACGGUGUGCCUGGAACUCAUAAUAAUGGCAUAGUCAUCCUACCUGGCAUGACCCCAUCACGAGAGUGACACCGAUCACUCCCGCCACUAGUAAUGUGGCUCUUUGCUAGCACCGACCAGAGUAAUCAACAAAGCCCCGUCCCAUAAAGGGGUAUCGUGGUCGUACUGGUAAGGUUGGGACGGUCGACACAUCAUAAAUCUAAUCCAUUUCCGAAACCAUACUCACACAAAAAUCACCGGUGCAUCACUUCACCAAAAGUGAUCACCGAUUCAUCCUCACCCUCGGGCAUUAGUGGCACCCGACGGGGUUUUCAUAAACUCUUUAUUUAACUCAACAUUAUGCUUGAGAUAAUAUGCCUUAACAUUACUUGUCAACAUGGUGAUAUCAUGACCCUCACGGGGUAGGGUCAAGCUCAAUGCAGUGAUUAUACUUUACUAGUCAACAUGACAUUAGCAUGAUCCUCGUAGAUGGUAGGGUUAGCUCAUCAUGUAUGUGCUCCGAGGAGCCAUGUGAAUAUCAUUAUCAACAUGCAAAUGCUUCGAGGAAGCCUUCGGGACCAUCACAUCAAUGAUGAACCGACACUGUGAUCACAUGCAUCGGAAAAUACUUGCUAUACUAGCAUGCAUCAUUUUAUAUACUUAAGUCAUGGAAAAAGGGCUGCUUGCCUUGGUCAGCUAGGUAUCCGGGGUCUUCGAGGUCUUCCACUCCGGAUCCUCCGUCACUCGGUAACUCUACCGUCGAGAAAGGAAUAAAUAAAUACUAGCUCUCACUAAAACAGAUCACAAAGUGCUUUUAAAAAUGUUGCAAGGCUUAAAUAAAUUCAGUUUAUUAUUUUGAAAAAUGUUUCCUAUAGUUUUAUUAGCUAAGCAUAUUUAUUUNNNNNNNNNNNNNNNNNNNNNNNNNNNNNNNNNNNNNNNNNNNNNNNNNNNNNNNNNNNNNNNNNNNNNNNNNNNNNNNNNNNNNNNNNNNNNNNNNNNNAAAACCACUCUACUGCCACUGCAACCAAAUCAACGUGUACCAAAGCGUCUCGAAACAAAAGACUACUCAAAGAGGGCAGAGAAAAAAGGAGGAAGUAAAAAAGCAGCCAGAAUCCUCCCAAACCAAGCUCAAGGUUUGUUUCAGUCUUGCCCACGUCACUCGUGCGCGUUUCGCCUGGUUGAUAGCCCAAACCGAAGCAGAACAUCACGACGGAAUUCAUUUACUCCGUACUAGCGUUGGCCAUGGCCGCUGGCGCUUCGCCCCUCCUGCUGUUGCGCGUCGCCCUCGUCCUCAUCGCCGCCGCCGCGGCCUGGGCGGCGGCGCUGGACGACCCGGCGGGGCUUCNNNNNNNNNNNNNNNNNNNNNNNNNNNNNNNNNNNNNNNNNNNNNNNNNNNNNNNNNNNNNNNNNNNNNNNNNNNNNUGCGACGGGCCAAGGAGGCGGAGUUCUUGGACUGGAUGGUGGGGGUGCGGCGGCGGAUCCACGAGAACCCUGAGCUCGGCUACGAGGAGUUUGCCACCAGUGAACUCGUCCGGCGCGAGCUCGAUGCCAUGGGGAUCCCGUACAGGCACCCCUUCGCGCUCACCGGCGUCGUCGCCACCGUCGGCACAGGCGGCCCGCCCUUCGUCGCGCUUCGGGCCGACAUGGACGCGCUCCCUAUGCAGGUUUUUUU